UUUUUUUUAGUGAAAUUUCAGGUGAGAAAAGUCAAAACUUCUACGUCAGGAGACCUCACCAGAGCGACGAAGGGACUGAGGAGUAAAAAGAAUCCUACUCUCCGGUAUAUAUAAUCCUAAGACUCAAACCAUUUUUGUUCUAGAGUCAACAACGUCAGCGAUUCGAUCAAGCAGGGGGCUCCUAAGUCGGGGAUGGCUCUGAUUACCAACUUGUAACACCCAUGAUGCGGCUAUAUCUCCCACGUGUCGAGGCACGACUUAGAGGCAUAAACGCACUAUGGUUUUGUCGCAAGAAGGGUCAUCUUCACACAAUCCCAUGUAAUGAACAAGAAUGGGAUAAAGAGUUGGCUUACAAUCGCCACUUCACACAAUACAUAAAUAAAUCAUACAUCAAUCAGAGUACACACAUAGGUCCGACUACGGAACCAAAAUAAAAGAAGACAACCCCAAAUGCUAGAUCCCCGAUCGUCCCAACUAGGCUCCACUGCUGAUCAUCAGAAAACGAAACAUAGUAACGACCAAGGUCCUCGUCGAACUCCCACUUGAGUUCGGUAGCAUCACUUGCACUGGUAUCCUCGGCACCUGCAACUGUUUGGAAGAAUCUGUGAGUCACGAGGACUCAGCAAUCUCACACCCGCGAGAUCAAGACUAUUUAAGCUUAUGGGUAGGAGAAGGUAGUGAGGUGGAGCUGCAGCAAGCACUAAGCAUAUAUGGUGGUUAACAUACGCAAAUAAGAGCGAGAAGAGAAGCAACGGAACGGUCGUGAAGCUAACAAUGAUCAAGAAGUGAUCCUGAACUCCUACUUACGUCAAACAUAACUCAAAAGCCGUGUUCACUUCUUGGACUCCGCCGAAAAGAGACCAUCACGGCUACACACGCGGUUGAUGUAUUUUAAUUAAGUCAAGUGUCAAGUUCUCUACAACCGGAUAUUAACAAAUUCCCAUCUGCCACAUAACCGCGGGCACGGCUCUCGAAAGUUUAUACCCUGCAGGGGUGUCCCAACUUAGCCCAUUAUAAGCUCUCACGGUCAACGAAGGAUAUUCCUUCUCCCGGGAAGACCCGAUCAGUCUCGAAAUCCCGGUUUACAAGACAUUUCGACAAUGGUAAAACAAGACCAGCAAAGCCGCCCGAUGUGUCGACAAUCCCGAUAGGAGUCACACGUACCUCGUUCUCAGGACACACCGGAUGAACACUACGUACAACUAAAACCAGCCCUCAAGUUUCCCCGAGGUGGCGCUGCAAGUGGCUCUAGUUUGGACCAACUCUCCGAGGAGCACUGGCCCGGGGGGUAAAAUAAGAUGACCCUUGAGUCUACAGAACCCAAGGGAAAAAGGCUUAGGUGGCAAAUGUUAAAACCAAGGUUGGGCCUUGCUGGAGGAGUUUUCUUCAAAGCGAAAUGUCAAGGGGGUCCCAUAAAUCACCCAACCAUGUAAGGAACGCAAAAUCAAGGAACAUAACACCGGUAUGACGGAAACUAGGGCGGCAAGAGUGGAACAAAACACCAGGCAUAAGGCCGAGCCUUCCACCCUUUACCAAGUAUAUAGAUGCAUUAAUUAAAAUAAGAUAUAUUGUGAUAUCCCAACAUAAACAUGUUCCAACAUGGAGCAAUCUUCAACUUCACCUACAACUAACACGCUAUAAGAGGGGCUGAGCAAAAGCGGUAACAUAGCCAAACAACGGUUUGCUAGGAAGGGUGAAAAAAGGUUAGAGGUUCAUGGCAAUUUGGGAGGCUUGAUAAGCAAGUGGUAGGUAGCGCGGCAUAGCAAUAGAGCGAACAACUAGCAAGCAAAGAUAGAAGUGAUUUCGAGGGUAUGGUCAUCUUGCCUGAGAUCCCGCAAGGAAGAAGAACGAGUCCAUGAAGAAGACAAACGGACGUAGUCGAACGAAUCCUCACAACUCCGGAACGAAACCGAAGCUAACGAGAGAAGCCAACCGGAAAGAAACAAACAACAUAGUAAACAACCACCACAUACACAUGGCAAGAUGCGCAAACAAGUAUGAUGCAUGUCCGAUUUAAUGAGGCAUGGCAUGGCAAAGUGCACAAACACUACUACAAGUUAAGUGGAGCACAAUAUGCAACGAGUUGCAUAUUGACAAAACACCACAUCAAUUAUUUAGUUCUCUCCCGUUUAUGUACCCAACAAUAUUAAAUGUUGAUUAACAUGGCAAGAGGGUGAAGCAUAAAUAAACUAACUAUUUAGGCAAGUUUAAAAGAGACCGGAACAACAAACAACAAUUCCGGAAAAUCCCCAUAAGCAUAUUUUUGAUUUGGUACUGUUCGGCCCUAAACACAAUUUUAAUGUUGUUAAACAGCAAAAUAAAGUGCACCAUGUUAAACUAGGCAUUUUUCUACCCCAUUUACAUAUAAAGUUUAUUAAAUUCCGAGUUAUGGUUAAUUAGUUAUGGAAUAAAUCAUUUUAACAUGGCAUUCGAGCAAAUUUAAACAAACAGCAUUUUAAACAUUUUAAACAUGGAUGAGAGUGGCAUAUUAUGAAACUAGAUGAAAUUCUAGACAUUUUCAUAUAAGAAGUAUUUUAAUCUGAUGCACGGUUUAUGAGAUAUUAUAUGCAUGAACAUGAGGGGCUUUUCUGUAAAACUGUAAUACUCUGGAUAAUGGACAAAAUCGCAGAUCUGGGAAAAAAACUACACGGGCCGAAACUGGCUGGGCCAGCGGUGUACAGGAGAGUGGCUGGAGGGGGCUGCUCACCCAUGGGCCUGAGGAGGCGCUGGGCAGCUGGGCUGCGCGUGAAACAGAGGAGGUGGGGUCGUGCUCGAUGCAGAGUCAACGCAGGCGCGGCAUUGUCCUAUCGCUCGAAGCAGAGGAAGCAAGGGUCAGCGGCGGCUGUCUUGCUGGGCUUCGGGUGCGGGGAAUGAAGGCAGGCGCGCGCGGCGGCCGUGCAUAGGCUGUGGUGGCGCUGGAGGUGGCCGGAGGAAGUGGACCCCGGCGGCGAGGUCCUCGGGGCCCAUAGGAGCUCUUGGCGCGAAUCCAUGGCGGCGCUGGACGCGGGUGACGGGGCGCAAGGGUCCAGGAACAAAGUGAGGAGGCGAGGGGCGGCCAUGGUGUUCGACGGCUGCGUCCGGUUCCUGCGAGAGAGAGAACGAGAGGUAAUAGAGAGAUGUGAGGCACGGGAAGAAGAAGAAAGAAAGAGAAAGGGCAGGGGUGCGAGGUCGAGGGGAACCGAUUCCCGACGGUGGGAGGCGGAUCCAGCGAGGCCGGGGCCGUGGGAGUCGGGGAUGAACCGAUCUGUGCGGCGUCGGCGGCGGAAGUCCAUGGGCGGCGGCGGCUGCUGCUCCCUGGUGCAGCACAAGAGAGAGAGGGAGGGAGAUGAGCACGGGCAGCAGGUGAAGGAAAGAAGAAGGAACGGGAGGGAGGAGGCGUGAGGUGAGGCAGGGGAGUGGGACGGCCUGCUGGAGGUGGCGCCUGCUCGCCGGAGACGCGGGAACUGCUGCUGCUUGCAGAGGGUGCUCGGGGCAGGGACUUGAGGACGCGCGAGGAGACGAGGUCGAGCGCUCCUGCUCGGGGUCGCCGGAGGGCGCGGCCUGCAGGGUCGGCGAGGCUCGGGCGCGAGGGCUCCUGCUCCGCUGCUGCGGGCACGGGGACGAGGAGGUAGGCGCUGGUUGGAGGGAGUGGGAGGAGCUGCUGCGGGCUUCGGUGGUUUGUGGAGGGGAUCGAUGGAGAUUGACCGAUGGCUGAAAACGAGGAGAGGCUGUGGAUUUGGAUCGGGAGGAUCCCGAGGGGGAUUUGGUGAGUGGGGCUAGUGGCGGCGGCGCGACGGGACAAGGGGGGAUUUUUAGGGUUUGCCAAAAUGGACUAGGGGUGGACGAAUAUAUAUACAUCACGGAUUAGGUUAGGGGCUAAUCGGACCCUCCGAUUAAAGUCAAACGGUCGAGAUAAAUAGGUUGGGGAGUCCAACAAAGAAAACGGAGAUAUUUUCUAGAUGUUUGGGGAUGAUCCGAAUCCAACGGUGACAACAACCCGGGUCGGGUUCGGGUAAGUUUCAGACGCGCACGCGAGGGGUCUAUGCACUAUGUAGAGAGAUAAGGCGAACAAAGAAAAGGGAAACGAGAACCCGGUUGGUCUCGAAACGGUCAACAAAGGCAGGGGACGCGGCAAGUACGAACGACUACGACUUUUAUGAAAACAUGCGGAUGCAAUGCUCAUGAUGACAUGAUGAAUGCAACAAACAAAUAAAACACACAACGACAACGAAAAAAUAUGUAAGGGGACUGAAGCGUCGGUCUUGGGGCGUUACAACACUCCACCACUACAAGAGGAUCUCGUCCCGAGAUCUAGGAUGGCACCGGAGAAAAGCGGAAGAGGAAGAGAACAGGUAAAACUAAGUUGCUUCUUCGACAAACGAGUGAAACCACGAACCUUGAGAGGUUGGACAACUUGAAAGAAAGAAUACAACGGAGACAAACAAGAUUGCAAACACUCUGUUGGCAAAGAGGAACAUGGAACAUCACGAGAACCUUGUAGGUUGAAAGACAAGAAUGGAAAAAUCAAUGAACGAGAAUUACUUCGAAACCACUCCGGUUUAAACGAAAUAGAGAAGGAAUGAGAGCGAAAAGAAUUCAGCCAGCACUCCGGUAGAAAAGAGAAGGAAAACUUGAUAAGAUCAAGAGAACUUGAAAGAUAUCACAACACCCCGGUUAAAUGGAUAAGCAAGGAAAGAAGAUGAUCUUGACAAAACAAGAAGUGUGGUCGAACAGAGCGAUAUCACAAUGCCUCCGGAAGAAGAAAUAGAAGAUAGAUCACUGGAAUAAAGGAAUGGAGAAGAAAAUGCCAACUUCUACCACAAAUUAUCUUGGAAAGCACCCUUCCAAGAAGGUUAGAAUGGAGUUGUUGGAAAAUCAACAGCGAAAGGAUAAGCUUGUAGUGGGCUUAUGAAAAAGACCUCAAAAUUUGAGUUGCAAUUCUGCCACUAACGAAAACAAAUAAUAUAAUUGAUAACACCAAUGAGAUGAAAACUUCUUUCACCAAGAGGAUAGGAGAAAACUUGGAUCAUUGAUAAGCACCAUAAUAGCAACAUUCCUUAGGGACGGCUUUAGGUGAAAUAUGACACAAGAUAACUCCAACAAAGAGAUUGAUGGAUCUAAAAUAUCUCAUCCCUGACAACAUGUGAAACGCGAAACAUGAAGAAAAUUAUCAAGAUUGACAUAACACCACCUCAAAUGAUAAGGUAGAACGAAUUGCACUUUAGAAUGCAAGAUGAAGAAUGCUUGGACUCCACAAAACAAAACAUGUGUUGAACACCAUGUUUAUUUUAGAGUAUAGCUUGGUGGAUCUUAACUCCGAGAGAAUUCUUGACGAACAAUUGAAGAAUGAAAAGAAUCCUUGAUGACGCACCAUGUAGAGCCUCCAUGAAGAACUCCGGUAAUAAAAGAAUGAUCAAACGAAAGGGAAAGUUGAAAAGAACUCCGGGAGAAGCCUUACAAUGAUUAGAUGAAGCUUUGAAAUGAUAUAAUUGAAAUAACUUGGAGCUCCGUAAAGAAAAGAUGAACAACUUGGAACCGAGAAUUUAAUAUCAUGAACGAACUCCGGAAGAAGGAAUUAAUCACUUGGAGGAAACAAGAAUAAGAAUUACAUUACGCGUAUCCUUCACCAAUUUAGAUUGAUGACAAGCAACGGAUUUGGCAUACUACUUAUUCUCGUAGAAAAGAUUAAGAUAGAUAUUGCGCAAACUUGGGAAGGUCUUCAACGAACCACCGGUAACAACGGAAGAGAAUUUGGAAAAGAACGAAUGAACUGAUACGAUAACAACGGAAGAGAAUUCCUGAAUGAACCACCGUAAGAAUUGAAAAUGAAAGUAGCAAAGGCACAAUUCACCGAGAAGAAUUGGAAAACGAAUGAAGAUACUUGAGAGAAUUUAGAUACAAGUGAAGGAAGAGAUCCCGAGCUGAUUAGAGAAUAAUUGAAUGAUACACCGGUAAGAUUUGGAGAACGAGAGUUGAAUGUUUAGAACGAAUAAAUCUUCUGAAAUGAUGGCCUUCGGAGAAUCAAACUGAAAAGACUCAUGAAUUGCUCCGGAUGGGUGAAAAGAAUUCUCACAAUCAAAAAAACAAUUAUGAGAGGAUGGCAUCAAGCUUGAACCAUGAAUCUUUGGAAGAAUGGGUAAGGAUUUGGAGGAAAAACUCUUCUUCGGUCUUCAAAAUCCGAGAAUGACGACGAGAAACCACCACCUUGAGUUGUUGAGAUACUCCGGGAUGAAAAUUAGAAAGAUUGAACCGAAAAUAAAAAGAAUUUGAAAGAUCUUGGAGAAAGACAUUUGACUGAUGAUAAUUCAUUCUUACGUCAAACUUUGCAAUGAAUUUGAGAAUAACUCCGAAAAGAAUUAGAAGAGUCAGGUAAGAUCCUGGGAAAAGACAUGUGGGUUAGGGCCCACUCAAAAGAUACACCGUUGAAUGAUUAAAAGAAAGAUUGCGCCGGUUGAAUUAAAUGGCUCAAAAGAGAUAACAACCUCGAGAUAGCUUGAAUGGAUUGGGAAUGGAAAUGUGAAUCUUCUGAGAUAUCUUGUACACUCCGGAACCAAUGAAAAUAGUGAGAGGUGAAUGAUUGAGAGGUGCACCGGUAUGAGAAAGCAUUGAAGCGAGGAAAGGAAUAUGAUCAACACUGAAAGCUUGAAUUGAAUCCACCGGAGAAGAAAUAACAACGAAGGAUGAUGAACUUGAAGCUUCGUUAGUAUCUUCUUGAGAAUCACCGGAUAAGAACAUUGACGGAAAACGUGGAGAGGCUUCCCAUCAAUAAAAAGGAUACAUGAUUGAGAAAUCUGAGUCCUUGAAGAAAAGGGUGGGAGGGCGGGAAAACAAAGGCAACUUGGGCAAAUGGAAUAAACACCGUUGAGAAAAAGCUUAGAAUUGAUCUUGCGAAUGUUGGAAUGAUCGGAUUUACUUGAAAAGAAGCACACCGGCUGGAAAUAGAAUUAAGAUGGCAAUCUCGAUGGUCAAGAAUGAUUAGUAUCCACAUAGGAAUAUGAGAACACCGCUUAGAAUAAGGUAUGGAACCAACACUUGUCACCGAAGCAACUCGAAUACCACAAAUUAAAAUAAAACAAAGGAUUGGCUCGCAGAAUAAGACGGAACAAACAUAUGAUAGAGAUUUCGUCUGAAGUUUUCGUGGUGGGGCCCACAGGGGCUCGAUCGUACAGCACCAUCAUGUACAAGGCAGUGCACAUGACAUACGAAGCGUCCCCGAGUCGGCAUAGCCAAGGACUCUUUAAGACACUAUGAGACCACUGUAAAACCAACCGGGGAAAGGCGGACCACUAGACGUCGAACCCCAAUCUCAUAUCAUGCAUCUGUCGGAAAGAUAUCCUAGGAGCUACUUGAAUUCCCACUUAUAAACUCCCGAAACUUUCUGGUUAUGCAAUCAGGUGUUGGGGAUACAGGGGACACAAUAUAUCUCACCGAAACUAACAAUCCCUAGAUCCAGAUGUAUCCAUCCGUCAACACAUAACCAAGAAAACUUCGGAAAUCGUUUACCUCAACCUUCGAAAAGCAUCCGUUAUACGAGUUAUGGCAAUACUCCCGAACUCCCGCCCCAGUACUGGGUGGCGUCGAGGUGAUCUCACCAACAACUGUAUAAAAGAGAUUUUCAAUGUCGGCGAAACUCAGGUAUUCCAGAACUGCAACGAUAAAAUUGUGACGACAACACCUCGGAGCUCAACUCCCCGGGACACUGCCACAACCCCUAAAUGUCAGGAGGCACCAAGAACAAUGUUCUCGUCACAAAACCAUCGGAACGAUUCCAAGAUACCCGCGUGAUCCUAAAAAAAAUUUAGUGAAAUUUCAAGAGAGAAAAGUCAAAACUUCUACGUCAGGAGACCUCACCAGAGCGACGAAGGGACUAAGGAGUAAAAAGAAUCCUACUCUCCGAUAUAUAUAAUCCUAAGACUCAAAACAUUUUUGUUCUAGACUCAAUAACGUCAGCGAUUCGAUCAAGCAGGGGGCUCCUAAGUCGGGGAUGGCUCUGAUUACCAACUUGUAACACCCAUGAUGCGGCUAUAUCUCCCACGUGUCGAGGCACGACUUAGAGGCAUAAACGCACUGUGGUUUUGUCACACGAAGGGUCAUCUUCACACAAUCCCAUGUAAUGAACAAGAAUGGGAUAAAGAGUUGGCUUACAAUCGCCACUUCACACAAUACAUAAAUAAAUCAUACAUCAAUCAGAGUACACACAUAGGUCCGACUACGGAACCAAAAUAAAAGAAGACAACCCCAAAUGCUAGAUCCCCGAUCGUCCCAACUGGGCUCCACUGCUGAUCAUCAGAAAACGAAACAUAGUAACGACCAAGGUCCUCGUCGAACUCCCACUUGAGUUCGGUAGCAUCACUUGCACUGGUAUCCUCGGCACCUGCAACUGUUUGGAAGAAUCUGUGAGUCACGAGGACUCAGCAAUCUCACACCCGCGAGAUCAAGACUAUUUAAGCUUAUGGGUAGGAGAAGGUAGUGAGGUGGAGCUACAGCAAGCACUAAGCCUAUAUGGUGGCUAACAUACGCAAAUAAGAGCGAGAAGAGAAGCAACGGAACGGUCGUGAAGCUAACAAUGAUCAAGAAGUGAUCCUGAACUCCUACUUACGUCAAACAUAACUCAAAAGCCGUGUUCACUUCCCGGACUCCGCCGAAAAGAGACCAUCACGGCUACACACGCGGUUGAUGUAUUUUAAUUAAGUCAAGUGUCAAGUUCUCUACAACCGGAUAUUAACAAAUUCCCAUCUUCCACAUAACCGCGGGCACGGAUCUCGAAAGUUUAUACCCUGCAGGGGUGUCACAACUUAGCCCAUUAUAAGCUCUCACGGUCAACGAAGGAUAUUCCUUCUCCCGGGAAGACCCGAUCAGUCUCGGAAUCCCGGUUUACAAGACAUUUCGGCAAUGGUAAAACAAGACCAGCAAAGCCGCCCGAUGUGUCGACAAUCCCGAUAGGAGUCGCACGUACCUCAUUCUCAGGACACACCGGAUGAACACUACGUACAACUAAACCAGCCCUCAAGUUUCCCCGAGGUGGCGCUGCAAGUGGCUUGUCAGGACCCCGAUUCUAAGUCACACCGAUCUAGCCUGUAACACCUCAUAUCACUUUGCGGCCUCACGCACGGUAUUUCCACGGGUGUCGCCUUACCAUGGCCCGGGACCGUUUGCGCCUUUUGGCUCACGUAUAUGAUAAUGUCGCUAGCAUCCAUAUGACGGAGAACCCGGGCCGACAUGACUAGUCGUGAACCCAAAGUGGCACUAACUUACGGGGACAGGCAUACAUGAAUCAACAUUGAGCAUGUCGGUCAGCAACGUGUGAAUCCGGGCUGUAGCACUGGGCUAACAGGACUCCGAGAACCCGGGCUGUAGCAGGCUAGGCAGGACUCCGGAUGUCAUCGCGUGACAUUUCCCCGAAGGGACAGACACAGGAACGAAGUGAAUCACAUGCCGGCCAGUCAGGUGUCCGGAGCUGUAGUGCUGGGCUAGCAGGACUCCGGUGAACCGGGCUGUAGCGGACUACUAUGGCUCAUGGAAGCACAAGACUACAUUUCCCCAUAAGAGAGGCUACCAAGGAUAAACAACUAGGUUGUCGGAUCCCACACAUACCAAGCAUUUCAAUCAUACACGCAAUAUGCUCGAUAUGUGUAAAUACAACAUGGCAUCACAACAUAACUCUACGACUCAAGUACUUAUUCAUUAGGCUCCGAGGAGCGAGAUAUUACAAACAUGGGUCUUAUGACCCAACAUUCAGAGCAUACAAGUCAAACACAUGCGGAAGCUUAACAUGUCUGAGUACAGACAUCUACAGAUGAAAAAGGCUGAGAAGCCUGACUAUCUACCAAAUCCUGCCGAGGGCACAAGAUCGUAGCUGAGGUAUCAAGCUAAACGUCGAAGUCCACACGGAACUACUAGCGAGACUGACAUCUCUCUGCAAAACAUAAAAUAAGCAAACGUGAGUACAAAUGUACCCAGCAAGACUUACAUCAGAACUAUCUACAUAUGCAUCGGUAUCAACAAAGGGGGUGGUGGAGUUUAACUGCAGCAAGCCAGCUUUGACUCGGUGGCUAUCCUAACUACGACUGCAAGUAACUCUUUUGAGGUGGCGCACACGAGUCCACAUAUUCACCAUAUCAAUACACCACUAUGGAUUCGCUCCUGUCUCCCUACGAGAACGCCAUCCAUAGCACUCACGCUUAUCUUGCGCAUUUUAGAGUAUCCACUUUCACUUGUCUAUGAACUGUUAUAGGCAACCCAGAAGUCCUUUACCGCGGACACGGCUAUUCGAAUAGAUCAUAUUAACCCUGCAGGGGUGUACUUCGUCACACACGCUCUCACCACUUACCGCUGAUUACACAGCAUGUACUCGGCAACCUUCAAGCGGAAGCCCAGCGAGGGUGUCGGCCACGGCCUACCUAAACACUCAAGUCUCUAGUCCAGGUUUAUCGCCUAUUCAGGUUCCAUCCGCAGGGAGUCCGGCCGAGGUUUCCACAUACGGCCCCGAACGAUGUGUGCAGGGUUCCCGAGACACCAACUGGCGACUCGGGACACCGGGCCACGAGCCUACCGCAUCACAGCCCACCCCUCGGGUCAGCGCUGUCCAUGGCCUCCAGCUUACUACAAACACCAGAAACUACGUGCAACUCCUGGACAGAGGACAAGGAUGAUUAAGAAGCCGAGAGGGUCCAUUGGUUUCGGGCCCAAUGCGUGGUAGUAACUGUAUCAUGGAUCACAAACACAGAACUCAGUUCCUAAGGACGGCUUCAAUGAGACAACCUACCAUGUACUCCUACAUGGCCUCUCACCGCUACCUUUACCAAAUCGUGUUCACACACUUAGCGCACACACAGUAGGACAUGUUCACACAACUCCAAUUCAUCCCCGAUGAAUCAGACCUGACACAACUCUAAGCAAUAGCAGGCAUGACAAACAAGCAUGAAUGAGUAGGCACAUCAAGGCUCAAACAACUCCUACUCAUGUUAGUGGGUUUCAUCUAUUUACUGUGGCAAUGACAGGUCAUGUAGAGGAUAAGGGGUUCAACUACCGCAGCAAGUAACAGAUGAGUCGUUGUUGUCCUAAUGCAGUAAAGAGAGCAGGAGCGAGAGAGUGGGAUUGUAUCAGAAUGAACAAGGGGGUUUGCUUGCCUGGCACUUCUGAAGAUAUUAUAGUUCUUCAUCGGUGUCAUUGAACUCAUCAUCGGAAUCACGGCUAUCGAGAGGGGACAAUUACCGGCAACAGAGAGGAAACACAAUCAAUGCAAUGCAACAAUAUGAUGCAUGGUCGUGACAUGUCAAGAAUGUUAUGAUUUACAUUAAUGCAUCUAACAACAGUUUAAAUGAAGUCCAUAUGAACUAAGGGUUCAUAUGCAAACUCCACAUUUAGCAUUUAAAAUGUCAUGAUCAUGUUUUCACCUAUACAGCAGGUAUAACUUAGUUUGACAUGCAUGAAAGUGAUACAGAUGGAUAGAUUGCAUUUUUCUGAUAAUUUUUCAUAUAUAAUUUGUUUCAUUUGGAGUUACGGAUUAAUUUCUAUGAAUUUUAGAAGUUUUGGGCAUUUUCUGGAUUUCCUGUAUAAAAAUAAUUCCAGUAAUUAAAUUAGUGCGUCAGGGUGACGUCAGCUGUUCAGCGGGGUCGUCUAGGUCAAACCUGACGUGUGGGGUCCACACGUCAGUGUCACUGUUAGUAAACUAACUAAUUAAGAAUUAAUUAAAAGUUAAUCCAGGUUAAUUAGCAGGCGGGCCCCACUUGUCAUUGACUCAGGGGAGGGGGUCAGCCUGGGUCAAACGGGGUCAACUCGCCGGUGUAUAGCCGCCGGCGAGCCAGACGCGGCGACGAGCCACGGGUUUGCCCUACGGGGCGCCGUUUGGCGCGCGGAGCACAGCUACGGGAUGCGGACGCUCGUCUGCAUCCAACCGUGGGGGUAGCGCGGCCGGGGAGUGGCCGGAGUGGCGCCGGUGACGAGCUCGGCGGCGGGGCGUGCGGGUGAGCUACGUGCAGUUGCUAUGGAGCUCGAGAGCGAGAACGAGAAGGGGGAGAAGGUAGCGGAGCUCACUGCGGUCACGUAGAAGUAAACGGCGUGGUCAGGGACGGUCAGACGACGUCGGGAGGUCGCCGGCGAUCUCGGAGCAAAGGCGGCGAAGUCGAGGGUGCAGGGGGCGAUGCAGGCCGUUCGGCGUUGCCUGACUCGGCUGAGAGGACGAGGGCGUCGAGACGGAGCUGCUGGACAGCACGGGAAGGCAAGGGGAGCACGGUGGCUGCGGUGGUGGCGAGCGGCGGCGACGAACCCGUUCGGGUGGGUGAGAGAGAGAGGUCCAGGGGAGGGAAUGAGCACGGGGGAGAGCGGGAGGGGUCGAGGGGAGCGCGUGGCGUCUCCGGGGACGUCCAAGGAGAAGCGGCAAGCAGGAGGUGGCCGGGGCGCGUGGGCGCGCACGGCGGCCACACGCCUCUCGUCCUACUGGCGAGAGGUGGGAGAUGACUGGCAGCGGCGCUGGGCUGGGCCGGCCAGGUGGGCAGGCCAGCUGGGCUGCGACAGGUGAGGCCAGGUAGGUUUCCUUUCUCUCUCUUUUUUUUAUUUGUUUCUGUUUUCUAAUAUUCUGUAGUCUUUAGGGCUUUAUUAAAAAUACUUAGACACUUGCAAAAAUCAUGAAACUACUCAUGAUCACUGUUGGGAAUAUAUCCUACAGUAAACAUUUUAGUUUAUGAUUAUUUGAGCAUUUAAAAUAUUUAAUAUCAUUUAAAUGCCCAAAUGCAAAUAGAGUAUGAUUUAAUCCAGAGCCCAAAUAUGUCAUGGAAAAAUGUGCAUCACCUCUGGUUACUAUUUCCAGCAUUUUCCGAUAAUGAUGAACAUUUUUUAAAGCCAUUUGGAUUUACUGGAAAUAUUUUGGUUGAACCUAGUGAAUUCCUUUAAUGCUAGGGUUUAGGCAAUCCCCAUUUCAAGUUUCUUUCAAAGUUUAAACAUGAUGCACACAUGAAGUUAGCCUAGAGCAAACCAGAACUAGGGAUGUGACAACUCACCCCCACUAAACAAGAAUCUCGUCCCAAGAUUCAAGCGUAGGGUAAGAGGAAGAGGGGACACAAAACCUAACACAAUCUUCUCGAUCCAAUUGCCCUCAUCGAAGAUGUUGAUUCAUUGCUUCAAAUUGAUCUUGUCGUCUUUGCUUUCGGGAUCUUCAUCCAACAUGAUGACGACAGAAGAAACUCUAUAGGAAUCGAUCUUCUUAAAGAUCGAGCAACUCACGAUCAACUCACGGAAUGAGAUGUUGAAACAUCUCGAGUUGAGACGCAAAACACAUUGAGAGGGAUGGAAGAACAAACGAUGAGGUUUGAUUUGGUGGGCAACAGCUCCACGCUUAGAUAAUAUGGUACAUGGGUUCCAAAGCAGCGAGGAGUUAAUUGCCAUGACUCCAUAACGGGGCACCUUAGGAAAGGUGACUCGUAGAAUUCUUCCCUUAAGUGGCAAAAAGAAUUACUUUUGAUACAAAGAUCAUUAAAACUCUUUAUACCAGCCUAAGGCAAUCACAAUCGAUCGUUUGGCGGAGUCCAAAGGAAUGGCAUAUCCGGAUUAAAAUGGAUGAUGUGGACUACCUUGUUGAAGACAACGUAAGGAAUGAUUUUUGCUUAUCGUCAGAAAUGGAUGGGACCCAUGGUAGGACCACUUUUAAAGAAGAUCCUGAGCAGCAAUGGCUGAGAAGGGCAGCCCAUGGGAAAUUGGCACAAGGCGGUGCAAGCUAGGAACAAAAUGCAAAUGUCGGGAAUGUUCCAACCAUCAUAUCUGCCUGAGAUUCAGAUCUGGUUGGUGUCCGGAUAUUCCAGACUCAUCAAGUCUAGAAAUAAAAAUGAAAGUUUGCAACACAAAUCGACAAGAUGACGUUGCGAGAUUCUCGGGGAGUGAACUACAAUAGCAAGCUCCAAAAUAUGAGCUGGUUCUGCUACAUACAUGUGAACAUGUUGUCCAAGACAAGAAUGACCACAUAGUAGUCUUAUGAUAAAACACUACCGAGUUCAGGUGGGGAACCAUCAUCUAGGGUAACGAAGUCUUGUGCAUGAACUAGGAUUUGAACAACAACUCCUUUUCCUUGAACAAAUCAAUCAGUGGCUUGGUGUGCUAGGAACACAUAUAGAACGAAGGUUGCAAGUCUCCGAACCACAGAAUACUUCGCACGUAUGCAUGACCGAUUUUGGGAUGAUUCCAAAAGAAGCAACAUUGACUUUCUCAAAUCCACGACGGCAACUUGCAUCAGAUGCACGUGAAAUAGAGGAAGUCACUACUUUCAUCCAAACAUAUGCUUCAUGAACGGAACACGAAGAUAAUGCUUAUAAAGUUUCCAAUACUAGCUGGAUGUUCAACACGAGUCAUGGAGAAGGUAGCAGUGUUGCUGAUGGGCUCAACAACAAUUCAUCCAGGUUUCCAUGGAGAUGGAAUUCCAUAAUUAUGUGAACAAGUGAUAGCAUUGGUCAGACCCAAAAGAUAUAAUGGUGUAUGCUCGAGGGAUCAACCACGAGUAAGACAACAUUAUGAACAUCGUUGGUUCUGAUUUGAUUUGAUGAUAGCCCAUACUCAAAUCAAAGUCUUGAUGCGACAAUAGGUCCAACAACUGAUCACAGGGACCAAUCGAUGAAGAUAUCAUCUAUCUUCAACACACGCACACACACACCAAGAUAUCCCUUAAUGAUGAACUAAGUCAGACAAAGCUUUUAUCUUCCAACUCUCCAAGUUGUUGUUUAGCUCAACCAACUAGCUCAGGGGUAUCCAACACAGAUUCAUGGAGAAGGGGUGGUUUAUAGGAAACCAACUUGAUCACGAGCUCAACAUAACGGUCAGGGAGCAACCCGGUGAUACUUCCGAGAAGAUAUUCAGGAAAUCACCAACCACCGAUAUGUUACUAGGCUCGAGAACAAUCUCGCCUUUCAGAGCAAGACAAUAUGAUCAAAUAAGCAAGGGAUUGAAUAAUCCUAACUCAUUGAUCGAAGAGUGCACCGGAAAUAAGGACUAGGUAGCACGAUCAACCUUAGGAUGUGAUUCAGUAACCAACACGCUAAGGAUGAAAUUAUUGUCCUUUAACUACCAAGCAACGGAGUUGCUAGGAGUAUUGAUUUCACGCAUCACGAUUCACUUGUCGGUGUUCCGGUUACAAUAACACGGGACCGAGAAAUGAAUGAUGAUGGCGAGGAGUAUCACUGCGUCAAGAAUUCACAAAAGGUGGUGCAAUUCCUACGAUAUUCUCGACAUAAAGGGGGUAAUACUUGAAGGUAGAACAGAACAAAAGCUGGUUAGGCAUUUGAUCUGCGGAAUACAACUACUUUGACCCAAUCCCAAAGAUGGACGAGGUACUGGAGUUUGUUUCUCCUAGUCAUUCCGGAUUAGAAUGGCUUGACAGACCACAAGAAUAAUAGGCAUUGAUAACACAAAUGCACAAUUACUCCUGACUAUCAAUUGAUAGACGAGGGCCGGAAAAAUUACUAAAGAGGGACAACCCAAAGGAACAUAUGUUUUUCUGAGUUGUGGAUGCAUGGAUUAGUAUAUCGAGCAAAUUCAACAUAUUUCUUCCGGAUAACCCAUGCAGAGGAGGAAGGACUGGCAGAGUCACAAUAUGAAUGGAGUACUCCUCAAGAGCGCCCUGGUUGUGAUUUUUUGGUUAAAAGAACUUCUGCCAUAAUGGUUCAUGGUAUUUGGAAGAAGGAAAUACCACGGACCUCGAGGACUGUCGCAAGGUUACUAAUAUCCUAAAGGAACGAGCAAACACUAUCAACAGGAGGUAAGUGGAGUGAAUCUUGGUCUCAAGAACCCAGAAAUAGAAUGCCUACUAACUAAAUGGCAUCACGGGAUGCUUUCGAGAGUAAUGGCCAGAAUCAUCACACUAGGGAUGCAAGCAUUGCUAGAUUACUAAGUGGUCCUCUAAGACACCUAGGGUCAUAAUAAUAACUCCAACAUAUAUGUCAAGGCAACAGAGUACCUCAACUCAACGAUUAGUGUGGUUAAUCUGGCCCAAAGGAACAUCGAGAACAGAAAGAAGGGAUUUGCAAAUGCAUCAGAUUUUUUAGAAGCCUGGGAUGACUCGGACAGCAUAACGGCUGUAAAUGCUCAAAGGAUUUGAGACAUCCUGCAAAAAUGGUGGCAUAACCACUUAGAAGCACAAUAUCAAGGUUCCGAGACCAACUAUGAACACACGGAAGUAGAAGAAACUGAACUGGGGCUUAAAUCCAACAAUCCUACAAGUCUACAGAUUAGUAACACGUGAUCCUGAUAGAAAGAUUAGAAGCCUAGUUCUUAAUCCCCGUAGAAGAGAAGAGGGUGACUCAGAUCAGAAGGGCAUAAGGUAAAGGAGUAAAAAAAGCCUUACAUUCCCUUCCACAAUCAAUUCCCUUAUAUAACUAAAGCAUUUCUAGACUCAACUUUGACUAGUUUGGCUUGGUAAUCCUACAGGCAGUCAGGCUCUGAUACCAACGCUGUCAGGACCCCGAUUCUAAGUCACACCGAUCUACCCUGUAACACCUCAAAUCACUUUGCGGCCUCACGCACGGUAUUUCCACGGGUGUCGCCUUACCAUGGCCCGGGACCGUUUGCGCCUUUUGGCUCAUGUAUAUGAUAAUGUCGCUAGCAUCCAUAUGACGGAGAACCCGGGCCGACAUGACUAGUCAUGAACCCAAAGUGGCACUAACUUACGGGGACAGGCAUACAUGAAUCAACAUCGAGCAUGUCGGUCAGCAACGUGUGAAUCCGGGCUGUAGCACUGGGCUAACAGGACUCCGGGAACCAGGGCUGUAGCAGGCUAGGCAGGACUCCGGAUGUCAUCGCGUGACAUUUCCCCGAAGGGACAGACACAGGAACAAAGUGAAUCACAUGCCGGCCAGUCAAGUGUCCGGAGCAGUAGUGCUGGGCUAGCAAGACUCCGGUGAACCGGGCUGUAGCGGACUACUAUGGCUCAUGGAAGCACAAGACUACGUUUCCCCAUAAGAGAGGCUACCAAGGAUAAACAACUAGGUUGUCGGAUCCCACACAUACCAAGCAUUUCAAUCAUACACGCAAUAUGCUCGAUAUGUGUAAAUACAACAUGGCAUCACAACAUAACUCUACGACUCAAGUACUUAUUCAUUAGGCUCCGAGGAGCGAGAUAUUACAAACAUGGGUCUUAUGACCCAACAUUCAGAGCAUACAAGUCGAACACAUGCGGAAGCUUAACAUGUCUGAGUACAGACAUCUACAAAUGAAAAAGGCUGAGAAGCCUGACUAUCUACCAGAUCCUGCCGAGGGCACAAGAUCGUAGCUAAGGUAUCAAGCUAAACGUCGAAGUCCACACGGAACUACUAGCGAGACUGACGUCUCUCUGCAAAACAUAAAAUAAGCAAACGUGAGUACAAAUGUACCCAGCAAGACUUACAUCAGAACUAUCUACAUAUGCAUCGGUAUCAACAAAGGGGGUGGUGGAGUUUAACUGCAGCAAGCCAGCUUUGACUCGGUGGCUAUCCUAACUACGACUGCAAGUAACUCUUUUGAGGUGGCGCACACGAGUCCACAUAUUCACCAUAUCAAUACACCACUAUGGAUUCGCUCCCGUCUCCCUAUGAGAACGCCAUCCAUAGCACUCACGCUUAUCUUGUGCAUUUUAGAGUAUCCACUUUCACUUGUCAAUGAACUGUUAUAGGCAACCCAGAAGUCCUUUAUCGCGGACACGGCUAUUCGAAUAGAUCAUAUUAACCCUGCAGGGGUGUACUUCGUCACACACGCUCUCACCACUUACCGCCGAUUACACAGCAUGUACUCGGCAACCUUCAAGCGGAAGCCCAGCGAGGGUGUUGGCCACGGCCUACCUAAACACUCAAGUCUCUAGUCCAGGUUUAUCGCCUAUUCAGGUUCCAUCCGCAAGGAGUCCGGCCGAGGUUUCCACAUACGGCCCCGAACGAUGUGUGCAGGGUUCCCGAGACACCAAACGGGCGACUCGGGACACCGGGCCACGAGCCUACCGCAUCACAGCCCACCCCUCGGGUCAGCGCGGUCCACGGCCUCCAGCUUACUACAAACACCAGAAACUACGUGCAACUCCUGGACAGAGGACAAGGGUGAUUAAGACGCUGAGAGGGUCCAUUGGUUUCGGGCCCAAUGCGUGGUAGUAACUGUAUCAUGGAUCACAAACACAGAAAUCAAUUCCUGAGGAGGGCUUCAAUGAGACAACCCACCAUGUACUCCUACAUGGCCUCUCACCGCUACCUUUACCAAAUCGUGUUCACACACUUAGCUCACACACAGUAGGACAUGUUCACACAACUCCAAUUCAUCCCUGAUGAAUCAGACCUGACACAACUCUAAGCAAUAGCAGGCAUGACAAACAAGCAUGAAUGAGUAGGCACAUCAGGGCUUAAACAACUCCUACUCAUGCUAGUGGGUUUCAUCUAUUUACUGUGGAAAUGACAGGUCAUGCAGAGGAUAAGGGGUUCAACUACCGCAGCAAGUAACAGAUGAGUCGUUGUUGUCCUAAUGCAGUAAAGAGAGCAGGAGCGAGAGAGUGGGAUUGUAUCGGAAUGAACAAGGGGGUUUGCUUGCCUGGCACUUCUGAAUAUAUUAUAGUUCUUCAUCGAUGUCAUCGAACUCAUCGUCAGAAUCACGGCUAUCGAGAGGGGACAAUUACCGGCAACAGAGAGGAAACACAAUCAAUGCAAUGCAACAAUAUGAUGCAUGGUCGUGACAUGUCAAGAAUGUUAUGAUUUACAUUAAUGCAUCUAACAACAGUUUAAAUGAAGUCCAUAUGAACUAAGGGUUCAUAUGCAAACUCCACAUUUAGCAUUUAAAAUGUCAUUAUCAUGUUUUCACCUAUACAGCAGGUACAACUUAGCUUGACAUGCAUGAAAGUGAUACAGAUGGAUAGAUUGCAUUUUUCUGAUAAUUUUUCAUAUAUAAUUUGUUUCAUUUGGAGUUACGGAUUAAUUUCUAUGAAUUUUAGAAGUUUUGGGCAUUUUCUGGAAUUUCCUGUAUAAAGAUAAUUCCAGUAAUUAAAUUAAUGCGUCAGCAUUGCGUCAGGGUGACGUCAGCUGGUCAGCGGGGUCGUCUAGGUCAAACCUGACGUGUGGGGUCCACACGUCAGUGUCACUGUUAGUAAACUAACUAAUUUAGAAUUAAUUAAAAGUUAAUCCAGGUUAAUUAGCAGGCGGGCCCCACUUGUCAUUGACUCAGGGGAGGGGGUCAGCCUGGGUCAAACGGGGUCAAGUCGCCGGCGUUUAGCCGCCGGCGAGGCCAGACGCGGCGGCGAGCCACGGGUUUGCCCUACGGGGCGCCGUUUGGCGCGCGGAGCACAGCUACGGGAUGCGGACGCUCGUCCGCAUCCAACCGUGGGGGUGGCGCGGCCGGGGAGUGGCCGGAGUGGCGCCGGCGACGAGCUCGGCGGCGGCGCGUGCGGGUGAGCUACGUGCAGUUGCUACGGAGCUCGAGAGCGAGAACGAGAAGGGGGAGAAGGUAGCGGAGCUCACUGCGGUCACGUAGAAGCAAACGGCGCGGUCGGGGACGGGCUGACGAUGUCGGGAGGUCGCCGACGAUCUCGGAGCAGAGGCGACGAAGUCGAGGGUGCAGGGGGCGAUGCAGGCCGUUCGGCGUUGCCUGACUCGGCUGAGAGGACGAGGGCGUCGAGACGGAGCUGCUGGACAGCACGGGAAGGCGAGGGGAGCACGGUGGCUGCGGUGGUGGCGAGCGGCGGCGACGAACCCGUUCGGGUGGGUGAGAGAGAGAGGUCCAGGGGAGGGAAUGAGCACGGGGGAGAGCGGGAGGGGUCGAGGGGAGCGCGUGGCGUCUCCGGGGACGUCCAGGGAGAAGCGGCAAGCAGGAGGUGGCCGGGGCGCGUGGGCGCGCACGGCGGCCACACGCCUCUCGUCCUACUGGCGAGAGGUGGGAGAUGACUGGCAGCGGCGCUGGGCUGGGCCGGCCAGGUGGGCUGGCCAGCUGGGCUGCGACAGGUAAGGCCAGGUAGGUUUCCUUUCUCUCUCUUUUUUUAUUUGUUUCUGUUUUCUAAUAUUCUAUAGUCUUUAGGGCUUUAUUAAAAAUACUUAGACACUUGCAAAAAUCAUGAAACUACUCAUGAUCACUGUUGGGAAUAUAUCCUACAGUAAACAUUUUAGUUUAUGAUUAUUUGAGCAUUUAAAAUAUUUAAUAGCAUUUAAAUGCCCAAAUGCAAAUAGAGUAUGAUUUAAUCCAGAGCCCAAAUAUGUCAUGGAAAAAUGUGCAUCACCUCUGGUUACUGUUUCCAGCAUUUUUCGAGAAUGAUGAACAUUUUUGAAAGCCAUUUGGAUUUACUGGAAAUAUUUUGGUUGAACCUAGUGAAUUCCUUUAAUGCUAGGGUUUAGGCAAUCCCCAUUUCAAGUUUCUUUCAAAGUUUAAACAUGAUGCACACAUGAAGUUAGCCUAGAGCAAACCAGAACUAGGGAUGUGACAACUCACCCCCACUAAACAAGAAUCUCGUCCCGAGAUUCAAGCGUAGGGUAAGAGGAAGACGGGACACAAAAGCUAACACAAUCUUCUCGAUCCAAUUGCCCUCAUCGAAGAUGUUGAUUCAUUGCUUCAAAUUGGUCUUGUCGUCUUUGCUUUCGGGAUCUUCAUCCAACAUGAUGACGACAGAAGAAACUCUAUAGGAAUCGAUCUUCUUAAAGAUCGAGCAACUCACGAUCAACUCACGGAAUGAGAUGUUGAAACAUCUCGAGUUGAGACGCAAAACACAUUGAGAGGGAUGGAAGAACAAACGAUGAGGUUUGAUUUGGUGGGCAACAACCCCACGCUUAGAUAAUAUGGUACAUGGGUUCCAAAGCAGCGAGGAGUUAAUUGCCAUGACUCCAUAACGGGGCACCUUAGGAAAGGUGACUCGUAGAAUUCUUCCCUUAAGUGGCAAAAAGAAUUACUUUUGAUACAAAGAUCAUUGAAACUCUUUAUACCAGCCUAAGGCAAUCACAAUCGAUCGUUUGGCGGAGUCCAAAGGAAUGGCAUAUCCGGAUUAAAAUGGAUGAUGUGGACUACCUUGUUGAAGACAACGUAAGGAAUGAUUUUUGCUUAUCGUCAGAAAUGGAUGGGACCCAUGGUAGGACCACUUUUAAAGAAGAUCCUGAGCAGCAAUGGCUGAGAAGGGCAGCCCAUGGGAAAUUGGCACAAGGCGGUGCAAGCUAGGAACAAAAUGCAAAUGUCGGGAAUGUUCCAACCAUCAUAUCUGCCUGAGAUUCAGAUCUGGUUGGUGUCCGGAUAUUCCAGACUCAUCAAGUCUAGAAAGAAAAAUGAAAGUUUGCAACACAAAUCGACGAGAUGACGUUGCGAGAUUCUCGGGGAGUGAACUACGAUAGCAAGCUCCAAAAUAUGAGCUGGUUCUGCUACAUACAUGUGAACAUGUUGUCCAAGACAAGAAUGACCACAUAGUAGUCUUAUGAUAAAACACUACCGAGUUCAGGUGGGGAACCAUCAUCUAGGGUAACGAAGUCUUGUGCAUGACCUAGGAUUUGCACAACAAGUCCUUUUCCUUGAACAAAUCGAUCAGUGCCUUGGUGUGCUAGGAGCACAUAUAGAACGAAGGUUGCAAGUCUCCGAACCACAGAAUACUUCGCACGUAUGCAUGACCGAUUUUGGGAUGAUUCCAAAAGAAGCAACAUUGACUUUCUCAAAUCCACGACGGCAACUUGCAUCAGAUGCACGUGAAUUAGAGGAAGUCACUACUUUCAUCCAAACAUAUGCUUCAUGAACGGAACAUGAAGAUAAUGCUUAUAAAGUUUCCAAUACUAGCUGGAUGUUCAACACGAGUCAUGGAGAAGGUAGCAGUGUUGCUGAUGGGCUCAACAACAAUUCAUCCAGGUUUCCAUGGAGAUGGAAUUCCAUAAUUAUGUGAACAAGUGAUAGCAUUGGUCAAACCCAAAAGAUAUAAUGGUGUAUGCUCGAGGGAUCAACCACGAGUAAGACAACAUUAUGAACAUCGUUGGUUCUGAUUUGAUUUGAUGAUAGCCCAUACUCAAAUCAAAGUCUUGAUGCGACAAUAGGUCCAACAACUGAUCACAGGGACCAAUCGAUGAAGAUAUCAUCUAUCUUCAACACACGCACACACACACCAAGAUAUCUCUUAAUGAUGAACUAAGUCAGACAAAGCUUUUAUCUUCCAACUCUCCAAGUUGUUGUUUAGCUCAACCAACUAGCUCAUGGGUAUCCAACACAGAUUCUUGGAGAAGGGGUGGUUUAUAGGAAACCAACUUGAUCACGAGCUCAACAUAACGGUCAAGGAGCAACCUGGUGAUACUUCCGAGAAGAUAUUCAGGAAAUCACGAACCACCGAUAUGUUACUAGGCUCGAGAACAAUCUCGCCUUUCAGAGCAAGACGAUAUGAUCAAAUAAGCAAGGGAUUGAAUAAUCCUAACUCAUUGAUCGAAGAGUGCACCGGAAAUAAGGACUAGGUAGCACGAUCAACCUUAGGAUGUGAUUCAGUAACCAACACGCUAAGGAUGAAAUUAUUGUCCUUUAACUACCAAGCAACGGAGUUGCUAGGAGUAUUGAUUUCACGCAUCACGAUUCACUUGUCGGUGUUCCGGUUACAAUAACACGGGACCGAGAAAUGAAUGAUGAUGGCGAGGAGUAUCACUGCGUCAAGAAUUCACAAAAGGUGGUGCAAUUCCUACGAUAUUCUCGACAUAAAGGGGGUAAUACUCGAAGGUAGAACAGAACAAAAGCUGGUUAGGCAUUUGAUCUGCGGAAUACAACUACUUUGACCCAAUCCCAAAGAUGGACGAGGUACUGGAGUUUGUUUCUCCUAGUCAUUCCGGAUUAGAAUGGCUUGACAGACCACAAGAAUAAUAGGCAUUGAUAACACAAAUGCACAAUUACUCCUGACUAUCAAUUGAUAGACGAGGGCCAGAAAAAUAACUAAAGAGGGACAACCCAAAGGAACAUAUGUUUUUCUGAGUUGUGGAUGCAUGGAUUAGUAUGUGGAGCAAAUUCAACAUAUUUCUUCCGGAUAACCCAUGCAGAGGAGGAAGGACUGGCAGAGUCACAAUAUGAAUGGAGUACUCCUCAAGAGCGCCCUGGUUGUGAUCUUUUGGUUAAAAGAACUUCUGCCAUAAUGGUUCAUGGUAUUUGGAAGAAGGAAAUAUCACAGACCUCGAGGACUGUCGCAAGGUUACUAAUAUCCUAAAGGAACGAGCAAACACUAUCAACAGGAGGUAAGUGGAGUGAAUCUUGGGCUCAAGAACCCAGAAAUAGAAUGCCUACUAACUAAAUGGCAUCACGGGAUGCUUUCAAGAGUAAUGGCCAGAAUCAUCACACUAGGGAUGCAAGCAUUGCUAGAUUACUAAGUGGUCCUCUAAGACACCUAGGGUCAUAAUAAUAACUCCAUCAUAUAUGUCAAGGCAACAGAGUACCUCAACUCAACGACUAGUGUGGUUAAUCUGGCCCAAAGGAACAUCGAGAACGGAAAGAAGGGAUUUGCAAAUGCAUCAGAUUAUUUAGAAGCCUGGGAUGACUCGGACAGUAUAACGGCUGUAAAUGCUCAAUGGAUUUGAGACAUCCUGCAAAAAUGGUGGCAUAACCACUUAGAAGCACAAUAUCAAGGUUCCGAGACCAACUAUGAACACACGGAAGUAGAAGAAACUGAACUGGGGCUUAAAUCCAACAAUCCUACAAGUCUACAGAUUAGUAACACGUGAUCCUGAUAGAAAGAUGCAAAGCCUAGUUCUUAAUCCCCGUAGAAGAGAAGAGGGUGACUCAGAUCAGAAGGGCAUAAGGUAAAGGAGUAAAAAGAGCCUUACAUUCCCUUCCACAAUCAAUUCCCUUAUAUAACUAAAGCAUUUCUAGACUCAACUUCGACUAGUUUGGCUUGGUAAUCCUACAGGCAGUCAGGCUCUGAUACCAACGCUGUCAGGACCCCGAUUCUAAGUCACACCGAUCUACCCUGUAACACCUCAUAUCACUUUGCGGCCUCACGCACGGUAUUUCCACGGGUGUCGUCUUACCAUGGCCCGGGACCGUUUGCGCCUUUUGGCUCACGUAUAUGAUAAUGUCACUAGCAUCCAUAUGACGGAGAACCCGGGCCGACAUGACUAGUCGUGAACCCAAAGUGGCACUAACUUACGGGGACAGGCAUACAUGAAUCAACAUCGAGCAUGUCGGUCAGCAACGUGUGAAUCCGGGAUGUAGCACUUGGCUAACAGGACUCCGGGAACCCGGGCUGUAGCAGGCUAGGUAGGACUCCGGAUGUCACCGCGUGACAUUUCCCCGAAGGGACAGACACAGGAACAAAGUGAAUCACAUGCCGGCCAGUCAGGUGUCCAGAGCAGUAGUGCUGGACUAACAGGACUCCGGUGAACCGGGCUGUAGCGGACUACUAUGGCUCAUGGAAGCACAAGACUACAUUUCCCCAUAAGAGAGGCUACCAAGGAUAAACAACUAGGUUGUCGGAUCCCACACAUACCAAGCAUUUCAAUCAUACACGCAAUAUGCUCGAUAUGUGUAAAUACAACAUGGCAUCACAACAUAACUCUACGACUCAAGUACUUAUUCAUUAGGCUCCGAGGAGCGAGAUAUUACAAACAUGGGUCUUAUGACCCAACAUUCAGAGCAUACAAGUCAAACACAUGCGGAAGCUUAACAUGUCUGAGUACAGACAUCUACAAAUGAAAAAGGCUGAGAAGCCUGACUAUCUACCAGAUCCUGCCGAGGGCACAAGAUCAUAGCUGAGGUAUCAAGCUAAACGUCGAAGUCCACACGGAACUACUAGCGAUACUGACGUGUCUCUGCAAAACAUAAAAUAAGAAAACGUGAGUACAAAUGUACCCAGCAAGACUUACAUCAGAACUAUCUACAUAUGCAUCGGUAUCAACAAAGGGGGUGGUGGUGUUUAACUGCAGCAAGCCAGCUUUGACUCGGUGGCUAUCCUAACUACGACUGCAAGUAACUCUUUUGAGGUGGCGCACACGAGUCCACAUAUUCACCAUAUCAAUACACCACUAUGGAUUCGCUCCCGUCUCCCUACGAGAACGCCAUCCAUAGCACUCACACUUAUCUUGCGUAUUUUAGAUUAUCCAAUUUCACUUGUCUAUGAACUAUUAUAGGCAACCCAGAAGACCUUUACCGCGGACAUGGCUAUUCGAAUAGAUCAUAUUAACCCUGCAGGGGUGUACUUCGUCACACACGCUCUCACCACGAACCGCCGAUUACACAGCAUGUACUCGGCAACCUUCAAGCGGAAGCCCAGCGAGGGUAUCGGCCACGGCCUACCUAAACACUCAAGUCUCUAGUCCAGGUUUAUCGCCUAUUCAGGUUUCAUCCGCAGGGAGUCCGGCCGAGGUUUCCACAUACGGCCCCGAACGAUGUGUGCAGGGUUCCCGAGACACCAAACGGGCGCCUCGGGACACCGGGCCAUGAGCCUACCGCAUCACAGCCCACCCCUCGGGUCAGCACUGUCCACGGCCUCCAGCUUACUACAAACACCAGAAACUACGUGCAACUCCUGGACAGAGGACAAGGGUGAUUAAGAAGCCGAGAGGGUCCAUUGGUUUCGGGCCCAAUGCGUGGUAGUAACUGUAUCAUGGAUCACAAACACAGAACUCAGUUCCUGAGGACGGCUUCAGUGAGACAACCCACCAUGUACUCCUACAUGGCCUCUCACCGCUACCUUUACCAAAUCGUGUUCACACACUUAGCUCACACACAAUAGGACAUGUUCACACAACUCCAAUUCAUCCCCGAUGAAUCAGACCUGACACAACUCUAAGCAAUAGCAGGCAUGACAAACAAGCAUGAAUGAGUAGGCACAUCAGGGCUCAAACAACUCCUACUCAUGCUAGUGGGUUUCAUUUAUUUACUGUGGCAAUGACAGGUCAUGCAGAGGAUAAGGGGUUCAACUACCGCAGCAAGUAACAGAUGAGUCGUUGUUGUCCUAAUGCAGUAAAGAGAGCAGGAGCGAGAGAGUGGGAUUGUAUCGGAAUGAACAAGGGGGUUUGCUUGCCUGGCACUUCUGAAGAUAUUAUAGUUCUUCAUCGAUGUCAUCGAACUCAUCGUCGGAAUCACGGCUAUCGAGAGGGGACAAUUACCGGCAACAGAGAGGAAACACAAUCAAUGCAAUGCUACAAUAUGAUGCAUGGUCGUGACAUGUCAAGAAUGUUAUGAUUUACAUUAAUGCAUCUAACAACAGUUUAAAUGAAGUCCAUAUGAACUAAGGGUUCAUAUGCAAACUCCACAUUUAGCAUUUAAAAUGUCAUUAUCAUGUUUUCACCUAUACAGCAGGUAUAACUUAGUUUGACAUGCAUGAAAGUGAUACAGAUGGAUAGAUUGCAUUUCCUGAUAAUUUUUCAUUUAUAAUUUGUUUCAUUUGGAGUUACGGAUUAAUUUCUAUGAAUUUUAGAAGUUUUGGGCAUUUUCUGGAAUUUCCUGUAUAAAAAUAAUUCCAGUAAUUAAAUUAAUGCGUCGGGGUGACGUCAGCUGGUCAGCAGGGUCGUCCAGGUUAAACCUGACGUGUGGGGUCCACAUGUCAGUGUCACUGUUAGUAAACUAACUAAUUUAGAAUUAAUUAAAAGUUAAUCCAGGUUAAUUAGCAGGCGGGCCCCACUUGUCAUUGACUCAGGGGAGGGGGUCAGCCUGGGUCAAACGGGGUCAACUCGCCGGCGUUUAGCCGCCGGCGAGGCCAGACGCGGCGACGAGCCAAGGGUUUGCCCUACGGGGCGCCGUUUGGCGCGCGGAGCACAGCUACGGGAUGCGGACGCUCGUCCGCAUCCAACCGUGGGGGUGGCGCGGCCGGGGAGUGGCCGGAGUGGCGCCGGCGACGAGCUCGGCGGCGGCGCGUGCGGGUGAGCUACGUGCAGUUGCUACGGAGCUCGAGAGCGAGAACGAGAAGGGGGAGAAGGUAGCGGAGCUCACUGCGGUCACGUAGAAGCAAACGGCGCGGUCGGGGACGGGCUGACGACGUCGGGAGGUCGUCGGCGAUCUUAGAGCAGAGGCGGCGAAGUCAAGGGUGCAGGGGGCGAUGCAGGCCGUUCGGCGUUGCCUGACUCGGCUGAGAGGACGAGGGCGUCGAGACGGAGCUGCUGGACAGCACGGGAAGGCGAGGGGAGCACGGUGGCUGCGGUGGUGGCGAGCGGCGGCGACGAACCCGUUCGGGUGGGUGAGAGAGAGAGGUCCAGGGGAGGGAAUGAGCACGGGGGAGAGCGGGAGGGGUCGAGGGGAGCGCGUGGCGUCUCCGGGGACGUCCAGGGAGAAGCGGCAAGCAGGAGGUGGCCGGGGCGCAUGGGCGCGCAUGGCGGCCACACGCCUCUCGUCCUACUGGCGAAAGGUGGGAGAUGACUGGCAGCGGCGCUGGGCUGGGCCGGCCAGGUGGGCUGGCCAGCUGGGCUGCGACAGGUGAGGCCAGGUAGGUUUCCUUUCUCUCUCUUUUUUUUAUUUGUUUCUAUUUUCUAAUAUUCUGUAGUCUUUAGGGCUUUAUUAAAAAUACUUAGACACUUCCAAAAAUCAUGAAACUACUCAUGAUCACUGUUGGGAAUAUAUCCUACAGUAAACAUUUUAGUUUAUGAUUAUUUGAGCAUUUAAAAUAUUUAAUAGCAUUUAAAUGCCCAAAUGCAAAUAGAGUAUGAUUUAAUCCAGAGCCCAAAUAUGUCAUGGAAAAAUGUGCAUCACCUUCGGUUACUGUUUCCAGCAUUUUCCAAGAAUGAUGAACAUUUUUGAAAGCCAUUUGGAUUUACUGGAAAUAUUUUGGUUGAACCUAGUGAAUUCCUUUAAUGCUAGGGUUUAGGCAAUCCCCAUUUCAAGUUUCUUUCAAAGUUUAAACAUGAUGCACACAUGAAGUUAGCCUAGGGCAAACCAGAACUAGGGAUGUGACAUGGCUCUAGUUUGGACCAACACUCCGAGGAGCACUGGCCCGGGGGGUAAAAUAAGAUGACCCUUGAGUCUGCAGAACCCAAGGGAAAAGGCUUAGGUGGCACAUGUUAAAACAGAGGUUGGGCCUUGCUGGAGGAGUUUUAUUCAAAGCGAACUAUCAAGGGGGUCCCAUAAAUCACCCAACCGCGUAAGGAAUGCAAAAUCACGGAACAUAACACCGGUAUGACGGAAACUAGGGCGGCAAGAGUGGAACAAAACACCAGGCAUAAGGCCGAGCCUUCCACCCUUUACCAAGUAUAUAGAUGCAUUAAUUAAAAUUAGAUAUAUUGUGGUAUCCCAACAUAAACAUGUUCCAGCAUGGAGCAAUCUUCAACUUCACCUGCAACUAACACGCUAUAAGAGGGGCUGAGCAAAAGCGGUAACAUAGCCAAACAACGGUUUGCUAGGAAGGGUGAAAAAAAGGUUAGAGGUUCAUGGCAAUUUGGGAGGCUUGAUAAGCAAGUGGUAGGUAGCGCGGCAUAGCAAUAGAGCGAACAACUAGCAAGCAAAGAUAGAAGUGAUUUCGAGGGUAUGGUCAUCUUGCCUGAGAUCCCGCAAGGAAGAAGAACGAGUCCAUGAAGAAGACAAACGGACGUAGUCGAACGAAUCCUCACAACUCCGGAACGAAACCGAAGCUAACGAGAGAAGCCAACCGGAAAGAAACAAACAACAUAGUAAACAACCACCACAUACACAUGGCAAGAUGCGCAAACAAGUAUGAUGCAUGUCCGAUUUAAUGAGGCAUGGCAUGGCAAAGUGCACAAACACUACUACAAGUUAAGUGGAGCACAAUAUGCAACGAGUUGCAUAUUGACAAAACACCACAUCAAUUAUUUAGUUCUCUCCCGUUUAUGUACCCAACAAUAUUAAAUGGUUAUUAACAUGGCAAUAGGGUGAAGCAUAAAUAAACUAACUAUUUAGGCAAGUAUAAAAGAGACCAGAACAACAAACAACAAUUCCGGAAAAUCCCCAUAAGCAUAUUCUUGAUUUGGUACUGUUCUGCCCUAAACACAAUUUUAAUGUUGUUAAACAGCAAAAUAAAGUGCACCAUGUUAAACUUGGCAUUUUUCUACCCCAUUUACAUAUAAAGUUUAUUAAAUUCCGAGUUACGGUUAAUUAGUUAUGAAAUAAAUCAUUUUAACAUGGCAUUCGAGCAAAUUUAAACAAACAGCAUUUUAAACAUUUUAAACAUGGAUGAGAGUGGCAUAUUAUGAAACUAGAUGAAGUUCUAGACAUUUUUUAUAUAAGAAGUAUUUUAAUCUGAUGCACGGUUUAUGAGAUAUUAUAUGCAUGAACAUGAGGGGUUUUUUUGUAAAACUGUAAUACUCUCGAUAAUGGACAAAAUCGCAGAUCUAGGAAAAAACUACACGGGCCGAAACUGGCUGGGCCAGCGGUGUACAGGAGAGUGGCUGGAGGGGGCUGCUCACCCAUGGGCCUAAGGAGGCGCUGGGCAGCUGGGCUGCGCGUGAAACAGAGGAGGUGGGGUCGUGCUCGAUGCAGAGUCAACGCAGGCGCGGCAUCGUCCUGUCGCUUGAAGCAGAGGAAGCAAGGGUCAGCGGCGGCUGUCUUGCUAGGCUUCGGGUGCGGGGAAUGAAGGCAGGUGCGUGCGGCGGCCCUGCAGAGGCUGUGGUGGCACUGGAGGUGGCCGGAGGAAGUGGACCCCGGCGGCGAGGUCCUCGGGGCCCAUAGGAGCUCUUGGCGCGAAUCCAUGGCGGCGCUGGACGCGGGUGACGGGGCGCAGGGGUCCAGGAACAAAGUGAGGAGGCGAGGGGCGGCCAUGGCGUUGGACGGAUGCGUCCGGUUCCUGCGAGAGAGAGAACGAGAGGUAACAGAGAGAUGUGAGGCAGGGGAAGAAGAAGAAAGGAAGAGAAAGGGCAGGGGCGCGAGGUCGAGGGGAACCGAUUCCCGACGGUGGGAGGCGGAUCUGGCGAGGCCGGGGCCGUGGGGGUCGGGGACGACCCGAUCUGUGUGGCGAAGGCGGCGGAAGUCCAUGGGCGGCGGCGGCUGAUGCUCCCUGGUGCAGCACAACAGAGAGAGAGGGAGGGAGAUGAGCACAGGCAGCAGGUGAAGGAAAGAAGAAGGAACGGGAGGGAGGAGGCGCGAGGUGAGGCAGGGGAGUGGGACGGCCUGCUGGAGGUGGCGCCUGCUCGCCGGAGACGCGGGAACUGCUGCUGCUUGCGGAGGGUGCUCGGGGCAGGGACUUGAGGACGCGCGAGGAGACGAGGUCGAGCGCUCCUGCUCGGGGUCGCCGGAGGGCGCGGCCUGCAAGGUCGGAGAGGCUCGGGCGUGAGGGCUCCUGCUCCACUGCUGCGGGCACGGGGACGAGGAGGUAGGCGCUGGUUGGAGUUAGUGGGAGGAGCUGCUGCGGGCUUCGGUGGUUUGUGGAGGGGAUCGAUGGAGAUUGACCGAUGGCUGAAAACGAGGAGAGGCUGUGGAUUUGGAUCGGGAGGAUCCCGAGGGGGAUUUGGUGAGUGGGGCUAGUGGCGGCGGCGCGACGGGACAAGGGGGAGGAUUUUUAGGGUUUGCCAAAAUGGACUAGGGGUGGACGAAUAUAUAUACAUCACGGAUUAGGUUAGGGGCUAAUCGGACCCUCCGAUUAAAAUCAAACGGUCAAGAUAAAUAGGUUGGGGAAUCCAACAAAGAAAACGGAGAUAUUUUCUAGAUGUUUGGGGAUGAUCCGAAUCCAACGGUGACAACAACCCGGGUCGGGUUCGGGUAAGUUUCGGACGCGCACGCGAGGGGUCUAUGCACUAUGCAGAGAGAUAAGGCGAACAAAGAAGAGGGAAACGAGAACACGGUUGGUCUCGAAACGGUCAACGAAGGCAGGGGACGCGGCAAGUACGAACAACUACGAGUUUUAUGAAAACAUGGGGAUGCAAUGCUCAUGAUGACAUGAUGAAUGCAACAAACGAAUAAAACACACAACGACAACGAAAAAAUAUGUAAGGCGACUGAAGCGUCGGUCUCGGGGCGUUACACCAAGGAGCCGAGGAAUCACCACAAGACCAGACACAUAGAUUGGAAAUAUCACCUCAUACGAAAGAUCGUAAAGAAUGGUGAUGUAGAGUUAUGCAAAAUUCACACGGAUGCAAAUGUUGCAGAUCCGUUGACUAAGCCGCUUCCACAACCCAAGCAUGAGGGGCACGUUAGAGCUAUGGGCAUUCAAUGUCUAUUUGAUUGACUCUAGUGCAAGUGGGAGACUGUUGGAGAUAUGCCCUAGAGGCAAUCAUGUAUGAUGAUAUUUCCUAUGUGUUUAUGAAUAAAGAUAGUCCUUGGAUAUUAUCAAUUAUGUGUAUCUUCAAGUACGUGACUUGUUUGUGGGACUAUGCAUUGUAUGAUGACUGUCCUAAAAGGUCCCUAGUCGAAAGGGCUGUGUGGACGCGCAGCCGACUAGACUAGCAUAUGACACGGUCGAUGGCUUGGUCUCACUAGCCAUGAAGCAUUGGAUGCUAACCGGAUAAUAUGGACUUGGAAAGGUCUGGUCGGAUUCUACGUAGUCGGAUCCGAGUCGAGAUAAGGUCCAAGUCGGACAGACCCAACUAUGAGACGCAGCGAUAUGUCAUCUGUGAGUCUCUAGUACAACAUACGUUCUAUGUCCUAAGACCUGAGCUGGCACAUGUACUUGGGAUGGUGACAGACCUGCUUUGGGUCGACCAAAUGCUACUCUGUGACUGGGUAGUUACAAAGGUAGGUUUCGGGCUUGUCCAGACCCAUGUUGCGAGACAUGGUCGAGCAAGAUGGGAUUUGCCCCUCCGACCAGGAGAGAUAUACUCUGGGCCCCUCGUGUGAUCCGACCAGGAUAAGCAUGGCCAUGCGACAAGGAUUAUGAGAUAAUCCGGUUUGUGGUCGGCAUCACUGGAACGAGAAAGAGGUCGGGCUAGCACAAGGAUGACAUACUCGCCUUGAGCUCGACAACAUAUAUCGUGUGGCAAAAGGAAUGGAAGUAUGAUGUACAGGUUCGCUAACCAGCUUCAUAGUCUGCUUGGUGUUCGGCAUGCCUUGCUAGGGGCCGCUACCAACCAUGCAGUUCGGAGGUGAUCCGAACUGCGACCAAGCAGGCUUGAACCUAAGGGGUCGCACGCUUAAGGGAAGGAACCUACAAGGUCGGAUCCGAGGACACUGGUCGGAUGUGAUCCGAGUUGUAUUCGGAUUGUGGCCGAGUAGACUUGUGGGCUUUAGGGUCCGUGCGAGGCCCAAGUGUUGAGCCCGCGACGGACGCCUAUAUAAAGUGGAGGUGCGGCACACUCAAGCUGUUGAUCGCUUCGGCGCUGUCACUAGGGUUUGCAUGUGUUGCGAAUAGACACCUCCACUCGCCGCCGGUUGUGUGAUCGGACCUAGCAGUUCGCCGCACAACGUUCCUCCUGCACGCGCAGAUACCGUUAGAGGCGGUGCACCUGCGCCGCUCCGGCGAACUUGUACGUGGGAUCAGACGACCAGCUAUUCGAGGGAGAUCGCACGAGGAGGAGACGAUCCACGCGGACGCGCUGCCCCAACUCUUUUUCCGUUGCACGGCACUGCGCGUCUAGUGGUAACGAACUGUGAUCCAUCUCCCAUAGCAUGUUCUUGGCUGUUCUGCACGUAGGAAUUUUUAGUUUGUAGUCGACUCACCCUACCAUAGAACCCAACACUUCCGCUCCAGCUCCUCCAGCCGGUCGCGUUUGGCGGCCUGCGUCUUCGCCAACUCCCCCAGCUCGGCGUCGCGGUUCUUGAUGGCGUCCUCCCGGGCCUUCAUCUCUUCCUCCUUCACAUGGUGGCCACGAGCUUCUUCCGCAUGCUAGUCGCGCAGACUCUUUAGCUCAUCCUCCAGCGCCCGGCAGCGGUCGCGGACGGCUUUGGCGUCCUUCAGCGCUGCCUCGCGAUCGGCCGCAGCCUGUGAGGCGGCCCGCUUCUCCUUCUCGGAGGCCGUCGCGGCCUGGCUCAGCGUCGCUCAGACCGCUACAUCAGACUGAAGCCAGCCGGAGGCCAGCUCCAGGCGCCCGGCUACCAGGCGCGGAUCCGCGCCCAGGAGAUCUUCCCGCAGCUGGGUCAUCUCUGAAAGGGCAUGCUCCAAGACAGCAGAGGAGGCAGAAGAACCUGAGAACAAUGGCGCGGCAGGAGAAGGAGGCGACGCCGUCACCAGGGCCUGGGAGACCAAGGGCUCCUGAGCCUUUGGGGCCUCGGCGGCCGAGCCGGACAUCGGUACUUCCGAAGCUAGCGGGGCCUCGGGGGCUGACUCCUCGUGACGAUGCUCCUCCAGGCCUCGCGAGGGCGACCGGGCCGGGGAGGUGCGAGUGCUGUCACCCCCUUUCCUCGCGGAAGGGGGCGCGGACGCUGCAUCCUCCUUCCUCUUCUUCGCCGAAGGCAGCGGCCUGGCCAACCAAGGACGGACGUCAGGAGGUAGCAGUAUAAGCAAGAACAAGAUGGAGCUCGAGCACUUACUGGUCCACCGCAGCAUAGUCCACCCUUCGCUUGGUGAGCUUGAAGCCCGAAAGCCUCGAGGCUUGAGGCGUGGGCGCGCCGCCUCCCGAAGCAGAGGACGGUCCAGCAGAGGGGCCAGAGGUAGUUCCGGGCGGCGUCAAGGCGGGGGCAGCAUCUCGGGAGACCAGCGAUGAUCUGCCCCUCGUCGGGACAACGGGCAGCUCCCCCUCCUCCUGGUGGGCGUUGGCCUCGUCGUCGUCCGGCAGGGUGCAGAGGAUGUCGGCCUUGCUCAAGGGGGAGGUCUAUCCCAUCUCCUUGGGGGUCUCCUCCGAGUCCUCCUCCCCUUCUUCCUUCCCACGAGAUUCGUCAGAAGACAGCUCCACCGGCUUCGGCGCUGCAGGGACCCCAGUAGGCGCCGACGGCACCAGCCCGCGCCCGUCGAAGGUAGGCCUGGCGGCCACGACCUGCUCCCAGUCCGUGCGGCGGAACAGAGGAACAAAGGCGCUCGGUGGGUACUCUUGGUUGUCCUCGACCAAGAGGCGCAAGACUGCGGAUAGCUCGUCGUCGGGCAAGGCCUCCAAGCUCAGGCGAAUCUUGUCUUCUUCAUCUCCAAGCCUCCACAAGGGGCGCGCACGCACCUGAAGAGGAGCAACACGCAGCGUCAAGAAUUCCCUCAGGAGCAUGGCCCCUGUCACCUUGGUCGCCCUCGCAUUUCCCGGCUUCAGGUCGGCCUUCAUCUGCUCCAACACCGACGACGCCCGCUCAUCAGUAAGCUCUGCACGAGACCACCCCUUGUCAAACUGGGGCAUCUUCGUCGGUAGCGCCAAGCGCGGGUGGACGCACUUGGCACCCAUCAUGAACCAUUUGGCCCUGAGGUUGUCGGCCUUCUUCCUGGUGUUCGAGAUCGAGUUGGCCUUGCCGGCCGCGAUGAAAUGGGCGCACCCGGAGAUGGCCCUCGCUGAUGCGGAGGAAGAAGAAGUGGCGCAGCAGAGCCACGGAUGGCAUCACGCCCAGAUACGCCUCGCAAUAGUAGGCGAAGAUGGACAGGAGAAGGAUGGAGUUGGGAUGAAGAUGCAGCACCUGCAGCCCGUAGUGGCCGAGGACCUCAUAGAAGAAGUUAGAGAAGGGGGGAACCAACCCCGCGGCGAUGCUGCUCGUGAAGAAGGGGAAGAACAUGCUCCCCUCGGGCUCCGGCACGUCGGAGGCAACCUGGAGCUCCGUCUUCCCCCUCUUGUUGCUCUCCCCCGCCGUAAGCAAGCACGUGGCGGAGAGGCUCUUCUCCGAGACGUUGGGCGUGCCGAGAGCAGGUUCAUACCAAGCCGGCGACGAUGAGGGCUUGACCUUGCGCGGUGCCAUUGGUCGCUGGAGCAAAGGAGAAUGGAAGCAUAUCUGGGGAUUUCGGAGGCAGAGCGCAAGAAGGGGAUUUGGGCAAGGCGAAGGGAAGCGGUGAAGACAAGUGCUGCCCACGCCAGCCUUUUUGUCAAGUCGGGCAGUUGCCGAGGUAGCGUGGGGAAGCGGAGACGCCCAUGUCCAAUCAACCGCCACGCGUCGACCAAGGCCGCAGGCUGUUGGGGCCCGCGGCGCUCCGUGCUUGACCUUUGGCUUCGCCUCGAAGCCAAGCCCGAGCGCGCCUUGGACCCGGGGGCUACUGUCGGCGUUCUAGGAACGGGGGUCCUCAGACUUGCCUGCUUGUGGCCCAUGGCGUGGCUUUGCUAGCAGGCCCAUACGACCCAUCUUCAUCAACAAGGCAUCCAAGACCCUUGUGAGGGGCCAAGCCUCGUGAGGCGGACGAUGCAAGACCUCCUCAGGAGCAGCCUCGCCAGGCAGGCUCACGAGGGGCGGAGAGAUCAAGGCAAGGCAAACCUCGCGAGGUUCUCGUGACGUGAUCCAUGACGAUCGAGACCAGGCGGGCGCCAGCGCGCAUAGUGUCCUUGUUUGCUCUUUGGUGCUAAGGAGGCAAGCGCAGGCGCGGAGUACCGAGGCAUCAAGCAAAGAUUUUCAUAUCAGUGCAACGAGACCAAGACCAGCAGGACGGCAAGACGGAGGUCGCCAUGGAGCCCAAGGCGGCGUCAUCACCAGAGCCUUUUGCAGGCGAAGACCACUUUUGUCAGGAUUAGCUGUACUAGUUGUCCCCUUUCAAAUUGGCCAUUGUUGGCUCCCUUCCCGCUCAAUAUUUGGGGAGAGGACCAGGGCCUAUAUAAGUAGGACUAGCCACCACAGUAGGGGGGGAGGUCGAACAAAGCCUCAGGCAUCUCAUCUUGAGUAAUCCUCACCCACACAAGUUCACCAAGCACAAGAACACCUCAUCCUCACGAGGUUGUUCUUCCCCCUUUGUACUAUUCAUCAUCAGCCCAAGAGGCAAUCCACCACCACCACACUAGAGUAGGGUAUUACACCACAAUGGUGGCCCGAACCAGUAUAAAUCUUGUGUCCCUUGUGUUGUGAGUUGGUUCUUGAGAUCUUAGCAGGCUAGGACGUGGAUCGGUAGGGGGAGAACUUCGCGCGCACCCCAGUGUUCGAACCUUGAGGGUUUUGCCGGAACCCGUGAUCCGAUAAUUGCCAUGCAACUUUCCACCGUUCCGUUUAUUAUGACACGCUCCAUCAUUGUCAUAUUGCUUUGCAUGAUCAUGUAGUUGACAUCUAUUUGUGGCAAAGCCACCGUUCAUGAUUUUCAUACAUGUCACUCUUGAUUCAUUGCACAUCCCGGUACACCGCCGGAGGCAUUCACAUAGAGUAAAAUUUUGUUCUAAGUAUUGAGUUGUAACUCUUGAGUUGUAAGUAAAUAAAAGUGUGAUGAUCAUCAUUAUUAUAGAAUUGUCCCAUGUGAAGAAAGGAUGGUGGAGACUAUGAUUCCUCCACAAGUCGGGAUGAGACUCCGGACGAAAAAUUAAAAAAAGAGAAAAAAAAAGAGGCCAUAAAAAAAGAGAAAGGCCCAAAUAAAAAAUGAGAGAAAAAGAGAGAAGGGGCAAUGCUACUAUCCUUUUACCACACUUGUGCUUCAAAGUAGCACCGUGAUCUUCAUGAUAGAGAGUCUCCUAUGUUGUCACUUUCAUAUACUAGUGGGAAUUUUUCAUUAUAGAACUUAGCUUGUAUAUUCCAAUGAUGGGCUUCCUCAAAUUGCCCUAGGUCUUCGUGAGCAAGCAAGUUGGAUGCACAUCCACUUAGUUUCUUUUGUUGAGCUUUCAUACACUUAUAGCUCUAGUGCAUCCGUUGCAUAGCAAUCCCUACUCACUCACAUUGAUAUCUAUUGAUGGGCAUCUCCAUAGCCCGUUGAUACGCCUAGUUGAUGUGAGACUAUCUUCUCCUUUUGUCUUCUCCACAAACACCAUUCUAUUCCACAUAUAGUGCUAUGUCCAUGGCUCACGCUCAUGUAUUGCGUGAAAGUUGAAAAGGUUUGAGAACAUCAAAAGUAUGAAACGACUGCUUGGCUUGUCAUCGGGGUUGUGCAUGAUUUAAAUAUUUUGUGUGAUGAAGAUAGAGCAUAGCCAGACUAUAUGAUUUUGUAGGGAUAGCUUUCUUUAGCCAUGUUAUUUUGAGAAGACAUGAUUGCUUUAUUAGUAUGCUUGAAGUAUUAUUAUUUUUAUGUCAAUAUUAAACUUUUGUUUCGAAUCUUUCAGAUCUGAACAUUCAUGCCACAAUAAAGAAAAUUACAUUGAAAAUUAUGUUAGGUAGCAUUCCACAUCAAAAAUUCGGUUUUUAUCAUUUACCUACUCGAGGACGAGCAGGAAUUAAGCUUGGGGAUGCUUGAUACGUCUCCAACGUAUCUUUAAUUUUUUAUUGUUCCAUGCUAUACAUUAUCUAUUUUGGAUGUUUAAUGGGCUUUAAUAUGCUCUUUUAUAUUAUUUUGGGGACUAACCUAUUAACCAAAGGCCCAGUGCCAGUUUCUGUUGUUUUUUUUUUGCCUAUUUCAGUGUUUUGCAGAAAAGGAAUACCAAACGGAAUCCAAACGGAAUGAAACCUUCGCGAUGAUCUUUCUUGGAAUGAAAGCAAUCCAGAAGACUUGGAGUUGAAGUCUGGAACUCCACUAGGCGGCCACGAGGCAGGAGGGCACGCCCAGGUGGGUAGGCGCGCCCCCACCCUCAUGGGCCCCAUGGAGCUCCACCGACGUACUUCUUUCGCCUAUAUAUACCCUUAUACCCUAAAAACAUCAGGGGGAGCCACGAAAUCACUUUUCCAUCACCGCAACCUUCUGUACCCGUGAGAUCCCAUCUUGGGGCCUUUUCCGGCGAUCUGCCGAGGGGGAAUCGAUUACGGAGGGCUUCUACAUCAACACCAUAGCCUCUCUGAUGAUGUGUGAGUAGUUUACCACAGACCUUCGGGUCCAUAGUUAUUAGCUAGAUGGCUUCUUCUCUCUCUUUGGUUCUCAAUACAAAGUUCUCCUCGAUGUUCUUGGAGAUCUAUUCGAUGUAAUACUCUUUUGCGGUGUGUUUGCCGAGAUCCGAUGAAUUGUGGAUUUAUGAUCAAGAUUAUCUAUGAAUAAUAUUUGGUUCUUCUCUGAAUUCUUAUAUGCAUGAUUUGAUAUCUUUGCAACUCUCUUCGAAUUAUCGGUUUAGUUUGGCCUACUGGAUUGAUCUUUCUUGCAAUGGGAGAAGUGCUUAGCUUUGGGUUCAAUCUUGUGGUGCCAUUUCCCAGUGACAGUAGGGGCACCAAGGCACGUAUUGUAUUGUUGCCAUCGAGGAUAAAAAGAUGGGGCUUAUAUCAUAUUGCUUGAGUUUAUCCCUCUACAUCAUGUCAUCUUGCUUAAUGCGUUACUCUGUUCUUAUGAACUUAAUACUCUAGAUGCAUGCUGGAUAGCGGUCGAUGUGUGGAGUAAUAGUAGUAGAUGCAGAAUCGUUUCGGUCUACUUGACACGGACGUGAUGCCUAUAUUCAUGAUCAUUGCCUAGAUAUUGUCAUAACUAUGCGCUUUUUUAUUAAUUGCUCGGCAGUAAUUUGUUCACCCACCGUAAUACAUGCUAUCUUGAGAGAAGCCACUAGUGAAACCUAUGGCCCCCGGGUCUCUUUCUUAUUAUAUUGCAUCUCUUUUAUUUACAUCACAUCUCAUUUUACUAUUUUGCAAUCUUUAUUUUCCAAUCUAUACAACAAAAAUACCAAAAAUAUUUAUCUUACUAUCUUUAUUAGAUCUCACUUUUGCAAGUGACCAUGAAGGGAUUGACAACCCCUUUAUCGCGUUGGUUGCAAGGUUCUUGAUUGUUUGUGCAGGUACUAGGUGACUUGUGUGUUAUCUCCUACUGGAUUGAUACCUUGGUUCUCAAAAACUGGAGGAAAUACUUACGCUGCUUUGCUACAUCACCCUUUCCUCUUCAAGGGAAAACCAAUGCAUGCUCAAGAGGUGCAUGCGCCUCCCACGACAUUUGGAAGAACGCUCACGUUCAUCGUUAUCUCCUCCCCCUCCCUCUCACGUCGACCACCAUGGCAUCACCCCUCCCAAGCCCUAGGCGCCCCUCGCUGCACCGCGCGGACGGUCACGCGUCACCGUCCGUUCCUCGCCACCACUAGUCGAGGAGGACGCGUCGGUGUUCCGCUCCUCGCCGCGAUGCGUCCAGGUGGACGUGUCGGCAUUCCCAGUCUCGCCAGCACGCGCGUCAGAGGACGCGUCAGCUCCUCGCUACGAGGAGAACGUCGCGCCGCCUGCCAAGCCCCCUUGCCUUGAGGAGCUUUGGAAAGAAAUGGAGGUCGCCUUGUGGGAGGCUUUGCCUUCGGCAGAGUGCGCCAAAAUAGAGGUGGAGAAGAAGGCCGAGGAAGAGAAGCGCGCCGCAAGGCAUGCUGCCUGGCAGGCCUAUGUCGCGUUCGAGAGAGUCAGGCAAUUGGCUCUUUGGCAAAAGGCUCGUGCGAGGGCCGUGAGGGUGGCGGAGGACGCCCGUGCCAAAGCCCUGAGUGCAAUUAGGCCCAAGCGCCUGAUCUACGCUUGGCGGUACGUGGACCGGGUCCACAGUUCCAGCAAGGAGGAGUACCUGUUGGCGCCGGAUCACCACGCCGGUGAGAUCGUGCUCGCCCACCGGCAAGCCGCCAACCAGCACCUCGCGAGUUGCGAGGCUGAGGAAGAGGCGUUGUGUCGGCACGCUGGGAAAUGGCCCCGCACCAGGGCCCUCGUGGCACGCCGCAAGCGCUCCUGCGAGCAUCGUGGCUUUUAUUAGGAAUAAUUUAGUUUCGUAAGGCGAUCUCAUUAGUUUUGGGACGCAAAUGAUAAAUCCCGAACGUCCGGGAAUUAUUACCGUCCUUAAUUAAGUAUGUAAAAGGAAAAGUUUGGAAACCUUGUGUAUCCAUACGCAUUUUGUAAGUACGUGCAUAUAGCACAGACUCUACUAUAUAUCGCACUACAUGUCUCUCCCUAUAUAUGCUUGCAGACUGUGCUACUACUAUUACUUAUGUAUGUGCAAAUGCACAUUUUAACAUUACGAUGCGGUUUUUGUAAAAGUAGAAAAACAGCACUAGUAAAGCUUGUGAAACGAUUCAAUGCAAAAGAAAUGCAAAAAUGCUCGUUUGAUUGUUUACUUUUAGCUUCCUUCUUUGUGGUUAUUUCUCUAUCGUACUUUGUACGGAGUAUCUCACUGGUCGGGAAGGCAUGCAAAUUCCCAAACCGCUUCCUACACCCUGUAUAGAAUUUUUCGCCUAACAAGUUGUGCCGUGCAAUUGGAAUUCCAACUUGAGUACUACUACUAGGAGUACCAGGGGCAAUUUUUUUAGGCUUCUUGGAGUAGUAGCUAGGGAUAGUAGGAGUAGUAGAUAGGGAUAGUAGGAGUAGUAGCUAGGGAUCGAGUGUGCGAGAUGAACCGGCCAAAGUAAAUGCAGAGAGAUGAAAUGCAAAAAAGACGGAGGGAUGUGAUCAUUGCUUGUCCGUUUAUUUUACUAGGCCACUUAUUACUGGGAGUGGUGGAGUUUUGUAUAUGACGGCUUUACUGCCGCGCCACGAGCGGGGUGAGACUCCCGUGCAGCACCGCCCUCUACACUAGUACUACUACCUCGGUCGUGGUUUAUUAGUCCCCCAUUGAAUUUGACUGAAGAUUUAACUCACAAAAUGUUAUUGCAUGUCAACAAAAACUAUAUCGUUGGAUUCAUAUUUGAACAUAGUUUUCAAUGAUAUAAUUUUUUGUGAUAUGCAUGAGCAUUUAUCGUACUAUAUAUAAUGUUAGGUAAAUUUAUGGUCGUACUAAUAUAUAGUAAGGCGCCCGUGCGUUGCAUGGAACAGUGAAAUGCAUUGAUCAGGGAGUUGUUUAUUUUGACAAAGUAUGUGGGGGUCAUCUCAUGUGUAACGAGUAUCGAUAGGUUUCUUCGGAUAUUAUUUCUUCUCUAGAGCUCACAAACAUCUGGGUGAAAUAGAUAAAAAGUAUCUUUUGCAAACAAAAGUGUUCAACUGUUCAACCUGCAUCCAAAACUUGUGAAAAAAUAACACUUUUAUUCAAGCGCGAUACUCUAAUAGAGCAAGAUCAUGCAUGGAAGGUUUUAUACUAUAUAAAUAAGAAGUCUCCACAUGCUUAGACAGCGGAUUACAUUGAGCAAAGACUAAUGAUCAACAUUUAACCUGGUAAUACAUAUGUCCAGGUGAAGCUCCUUGGAGUCCCCAUGCACCAUCUUGGGGUGAAAAUCAUACCAUGGGUCUUCCAUGUCCACAUCGCCGGGAAUGGAGCAGCUCGGCAUAGUCCCAGUCAGCGUGAUGGAGGCGGUGUGGGCGCCCACGUACCUCUGAGGGGCAGUAACAGUGAGCAUGCACCCAUACAUCGGCCUCGUGUCAGCGUCACCGUCAGCGGCAUUGCCCCUGACGCACACUACAGAGACGGGGCAGUCCCCUGCGCGGGCCUUGCCGGUGCCCACGGCCAAGAGGAAGACGCUGCCGUCCUCCUCCACGACUAGCAUGCGGCGGUGAUCCUCCAGCGACUCCAGCACGGAGAACGGGUAGCACGUCUCGUACUUGAUGUUCACCACCGCGGGCCAGUAGUGAUCGACGGACGGUGCCGUGAGGUGAUGCACGAGGCUCGCCGGCGAGCGCUCAAACGGCGGCGUGCACUCAUAGCAUUAGCAGGGCGUGUGCGCGCAUCUUCUAUGCUCCGCCAGCGAGUGAUGGUCGACGUACCUCUUGCAGCCGAAACUCUUGUAGACGCAGGGCACCUUGGAGGCAUCGACCAGGCCAUCCAUGAAAAGGGAGUGGUUGUAGGGGACGUUGCGCCUGUUGAAUAUAUGAGCAAGUUACUACGAGAUUUAAUCUGAAUAAGCACAAAAUAAAUCCUGACGGCUAUAACAGAGAUUAAACUAAUCAUGUGGACUAGCAUAGUAGAUGAACAGAUCAAAUCUAGGACACGGACUAGAAACAUGAAUUCUACCACGAUUUCGAACAGGAAGGGCAGAAACACAUACGAUGCAAUGGGAGCAGCACCGUUGGAGUUGAGGUUGUCGCCCAUGUCGUUGAGGAAGAGGUUGCUGAGGUAUGGGAAGAAGUCGUCAUCGGUGAAGUCGUCGCUGCCAGCAGUCGCGCGAGUGCGCUCCCCAAAUUCCAACAGCGCCCGCCAAAUGGAGUGCAGGAGGGAGUGGCUGUAGGGGACGUUGCGGCCGCCGAAUGGAGCGCAGGAUUAGCACACGAAGCAGUAGAUGGUGCUCCUCCCUAGUCUCUAUCUCUACUAUACUCGUACAAAAACACGAGUUGGUGAUGAUGGUGUGUCUUCCAUCUUGUAAUAUAGACCGUCUGAUCUAUAUCUGACGUAUAUAAAGCAAACUAUGACAAUUUUACAAAAGAUACCCACACCUCUCUCCACAUUUACAGAUAAGGCCUUGCCUCGUUCAUCCUUAUCUCCCACAACCUCAUUGCUGAGCAAUUAAAAAAGGAUGUCUCUGGAACAAUCUGGCAUGGUGGCCGCUGCCGGCGCCGUCCAUCCCCAUGCCUCAGCCCAAUCCGACCACCAGUCACCACCACGCCCCACUCCUCCUCACCUUAUCUCUCAUCUUUCACGAGAUAUCAUUUUUUUGGUGAAAUUCUCGAGAUACAAUUUUUCCGAUAAAAUUAUCGAGAUAUCAUUAGUUUUUACACAUGGGAUUACUCCUGCAUGGGUCAAUCACAACAGGUGUUUUGUAAAAAAAUGCAUCUUGAUGUUCCGUUCAAUGCACGGGCAUCUUGCUAGUUUGCAUAUAAUUCCAAACACCACGUAGGCAUAGUCUUUGACCAUUUUACAACUAUGUUAGUAUCAUUGUUAGUGGCCAGCCGGUGCAAGUUAUAGCCCCGGGUGUUUUCACCUUUUUUUAGUAAUGAUAUCUGGCGAUUGUUCGCCAUGAGCUCAGUCCUGGCAAAUCCCACGUAACCGUCAGAUUUCCAUCCGACGGUGGCCUGUUUUUAAGCCAUAGUAUUUGACAAAACCGCCACCCCUACACACGUACCGUAACUGCGUCGCGGGAAUUUGCAACUGCCAUGUCUCCCAGUGAACGUUUGCUGGGGAUUGGAGUUAGCACUGAUGGCGGUUCGUAGUCGUUCCACGCUCGGUCAUUGAAGUUUGUAACUAUUUUAGAUUAGAAUAUACUACUCCUCCGGUGCUAGUAGUAGAGCAGAGUCCUAUCCACUACUCUAUAUGCAAACUAGGGCAUAGUAGUAGGUACUGUAGGGAGUACUAGUACCGUGAUCACUCAAGUAAGCUGUCUGGCAUCGAUAUGACCCUACGCUGCUGGGAUGUGUAUUGUAAGUCAAGCGGCGUGCUAUUGUCAUCAUCACCAGUCCACUUCCCACAGCACAUAUUCGCUUCUCCAUCUUCGUCCGCACAUAAUCGUCCAAUCUUCCAUCCCCGCUAAGGCGCCUCCCCCCUCUUCCGAAACCCAAGCACUAACAAUGGCAGAACCGAGCAGCGUCCGCUACAAGAGUGGCUAGAAUUCGCUCCGCACAGAGGUAAUCAAGCUCAUUGUUUCGCGUGUGGACAAUCUCAGUACCAUGGCGCUCGCCGCGUGCUCGUCGGGGCUGUACCGUUUACUCAAAGCCCUCAGGCCGGAGCUUUUUAAGCCAGCUCCUUGCUUGCUGAUGCCACCUGAUCUUCAGAAAUGGCGUGUCACGCAACAUAACAAUCAUAUGGUGGCGACUGGCGAGCAUCAACCCCCUUGACUGCGAUCUGAUCCCUGUCACCCUCAACUACAUUAACGGUAUGUACUGGGUCGGCAUGAACACGUCUUGGAUGGUGCUCGUCGACGGUCGCGGCAGCUGGAUGCUCGUGGAGGUCUACACCCGGCGAUUGAUCCCCCUUCCUUCGAUUAACACUGCACUGCUUUGGCACUAUGGCCCAGAAUACUCGGAAUCUUACAGUAGCCAACAUGAUACCAAGUUUGAUUUGCUCAAGGUUGUAAUCUGCCAAGUGCCCACAAGAUCUCUGAAUUAUAAAGACUUCUGGCUAAUUGCGUUCUUCAACCGCGGUCUCGCCUAUUUGAUAGUUCACUGCGGUAAGUGGAUAAAUCUGCACGUCCAUCGCAGGAUCAUACAUUCGCCAUGGUUCUCUGAUGCCAUUGAACACAAGGGCUUCAUUUACGCUGUGGACUCCUUCUAUGGCUGGACGUAUUGCUGGCCUACUCCAGUCAUCGUUACAAAUGACUGUUACAGCAGUAUGUUACUUUCCUAUGAUAUCAUGAUGGCUUGCUUAUAUUACUGUCAACAUUUACUGAAAAAAUAUUCAUGCUCAUAACAUGCUGUUCUUAAGAUUGACUAUAGUACGAGCCCUUUUUUAUUUGACUCCAACUUGAUAUGAUGUUGUAGGCCGCCUGGUGUCCCUACCCUUCCUAAUCCUAGAACAUUUCAAAGAAAAGUGGCAUGGCAGUUGUAGGUGGUUCCUGGCUCGAUCAGACAACGAUGAACGAUUGAUGAUCGUUCGCACGUACCGGACAUGUUGUUUCGCAGAAUACAAUCACAAUCACUGUAAGGUCUUUGAGCAGGAUCCCAGCUUCUUUGGGCCUUCGGGAAUUUUUGACUGGAGGCUGGCAAGUAGCCUUGGUACACGCUCUCUGUUUCUCGGACUGAAUUAUCCGAUUAACCAGGAGAUAACCGAAGCCUGCACCAGCCUGCUAACAGGCUUUGAGGUAAGCGACACAAAAGAGAAAGCCAUAGUAUAGACAGUAGCCGGACAGAGGAUCAAGUAAUUUUCGCAGGAAACUAACUAAAUAUGUCUUAUGUGAAUAAGUAGGCGUCGUUGCUGGCCGCAACCUCUCAUGCUGCUGAGGUCUCCGGACUAAAGCAGAGUCUGGAGCUAGCCGAGGAAAAGCUCGACCAGGCAAGGAAACAGCUAGAGGAGAAGCAAGGUAUGUAAUGACUUGCUGUAUGUUCAGAAAGAAUAAAUGAUGUUUACUGACCAUAGUGCUAUGAUAUUUGUAGGAGCGGCUACUGAGGUUGAAACCCUCAAGAAAGCGCUAGCCGAGGCCGAGGAGAGGGCAGCGAAGGAACAAGCUGCCCAGAAAAAGCAUGAGGCCAGGGUUGGGGAGGUCCAGCAGGAGCUCCAGGACGCCUUGAAGAAAUACGAGUCCUUGGAGCGCCAGCAUGCGGACCAAGAGUCCGAACUCGCGAAGGCCCGCCAAAGCACACAAGAGGCCCGGGCCGAAGCCCAAGGAACCCUCCAGGAAAUCCAAGAGGCCAAGAAGAUCACGGCGGGUAAGGAUUUUAUUAUGCAAAGCAAGUAUGUGAAGAAGAGGUAUCUCUUACUGACCCGGAUUUGGAGUUCUCCAGGGGCGUUUGCGGAUCUGCCGCGCAGCGUUUCUGACGCUGCUGAAUUCUUUCGAGCCGAAGAGGGGAGCUCAACGGAGAAGCUGUUCUGGUCGCAAUACCUUGCGCCAGAACAUCCGGUGCCCUUUAGCGAUUAGCUAAAACAGCUGGUCGAGCUGCAUAGGGUGGCCGAACUGGCCAUGAAGGACUUAAUAAUCCGGUUGUGGCCUGCCUAAGCCAUACCCAGCAGCUACUUUGGUCUCGUGAAGCGGCUAGUCGAUGCCUGCCCUCGGCUUGACGCCAUCAAGCGGUCGGUCUGUAUUGAAGGUGCGCGGAUGGCCUUCACCCGUGUCAAGAUGUAGUGGGCGAAGAUGAACGCCGUCACGGUCGUGACCGAGGGACCGCCCGCGGGCAAGGAGCACCGCACGCCCGAGCGAUAUUUUAGCGAUGUCCUGGAGGGAUCCGGCAUUGUGGUGGAGCAAUGUACGAAGGAUGUAAUCUUUGAAUGAAUACAUUCAUAUUGUCUCGCCCUAUAUGAUGAAACAAGUUCGGCUAUGUAAUAUAAUGUUUGUCUAAUAUUUUACCUCAUGUGCGACCGUGUUUAUGAAAUUUUGAGAGUUGGCCAGUCGUCGGCUUCAGCCCCCACGUAGGUAGUACGGGGGUGUUCGGGACGUAAUCUAAACACUCUUGAUCCAAUUGUUUGGUCCUUGAAGGAGGUGUUUAGCGCAACGAACCAGGCAAUCAGACUAUGUGGCUUUAUCACCCUCACUUAGCCAUAGGAGUUUGACAAUGAAAAUUUAGGCGCAGCCCCUAGUAUACAAACUAGGGUACUGUAAACACCUGAUCGGGUAAGAGCCGAUUCAUCGCAUAAUGCAGAAAAAAUCGCUAGAGAUUUGAAACCUCCGAAGAGCUGACCGGCUCUUGCCGCAUCAUGACAGUCAGUUUUUGGCUUUCUCUACUAAGGUGCUCAUCCAGAUAAACCAGGACACAAUCGUAGUAGUUCUCCCUUUACUACCCUAGCCGAUAUAGCGAAACGUAAGGUAGUAAGCACAGGAGCCGGGCAACCCAACUAUUGACCAAAGACAUGAUUUGGAGCCAAUGCAUAUAAUGCUAAAUUCGGGGUGCUGAACUAUAUUGUAAAAAGUUUUCGGACUUUGUUGUCAUAUUAUGGGUCGCAAUGAAGCCCCUUACAGAUUAAAGCGUACCAAAGUGUACGGGUGCGACUUGAGAAGAUUAUCAAAAAAGGAAAAAGGAUGUAGUAAGCUAAUGCCGCAGAAGUUGGGCCGCUAACUGUUUCCAUUAUAGUUUGAUUGAUACGUCAAAGCGUAUUUGUACAAGUAGUGCAAUAAGCAACAGGGCUAUUUAAUAUGCCACGACCAAGGGAGAGCUGUGUGCGGGUCCUGAAAACAGGUAGAGUGAUCGUUAAAGAGACCACCUGGAAAUUCCCUUGUACGCCAGUGCUUCUUGCCAUCUUGGUGUAUCCAUCCUAUCGAGAGGACCGAUGAUCAGGUCGUCUGAAGAAGCCUGCGUAAAAGAAACCUGAAAAGGAUAAAAAAAGAAAAAUUGAAAGUAUGUGUGUCCAGGAGCGGUCGAGCCGUAUUAUGGAUCACAAGCUAGUUAUGCCUCCAUCUAUGCCCAUGGUAUUUUGAGUGCGUAGUUAUGUACGCGCGGUACGAAUGCCGCCACUUGGUUGGGACCGAGCCGGAGGCCAAAUUGCUAGUCGAGCUCUUGACGAGCUGGGCUGUACUGCGGCAGAGUAGUCCGGCCUCGUUUGACGGUGUCCGGGAGCUCGGCCGACGAAUUAAGGUUCUGCUUGAGAAGGCCACUCUGUACUUCUGCUGCUAACACAGCGGUGUGCUCGGUACGGAGGGAGCGUUCCAUGUUUCCAUUGACUAUUAUGACACCGCGUGGUCCAGGCAUCUUGAGCUUGAGAUAAGCGUAGUGUGGCACCACGUUGAAUUGAGCAAAUGCGGUUCGUCCGGGCAUUGCGUGAAAGCCACUGCGAAAGGGGACGAUAUCGAAGAUCAACUCUUUGCUUCGGAAGUUGUCCGGGGAUCCGAAGACAACCUCUAGUGUGAUUGAGCCCGUGCAACGGGCCUCUACACCUGGUAUGACACCUUUAAAGGUAGUAUUGGUGGGCUUAAUUCUUGAGGGAUUAAUGCCCAUUUUGUGCGUUGUAUCCUCAUAGAGCAGGUUCAGACUGCUAUCACCGUCCAUUAGGACUCGCGUGAGGUGAAAUCCAUCGAUGAUUGGAUCGAGGACCAGUGCGGCUGAACCGCCAUGACGGAUACUGGUCGAAUGGUCCCUGCGAUCGAAAGUGAUCGAACAAGAAGACCAUGGGUUGAACUUUAGGGCGACUGGCUCCAUCGCGUAGACGUCCCUGAGCGCGCGCUUGCGCUCCCUCUUGGGGAUGUGGGUGGCGUAUAUCAUGUUCACCGUUUUGACCUGAGGGGGAAACUUCUUCUGUCCCCCUUGUUGGGGAACGUAGUAAUUUCAAAAAAAUUCCUACGCACAUGCAAGAUCAUGGUGAUGCAUAGCAACGAGAGGGGAGAGUGUUGUCCACGUACCCUCGUAGACCGACAGCGGAAGCGUUAUCACAACGCGGUUGAUGUAGUCGUACGUCUUCAUGAUCCGACCGAUCAAGUACCGAACGUACGGCACCUCGGAGUUCUACACACGUUCAGCUCGAUGACGUCCCUCGAACUCCGAUCCAGCCGAGUGUUGAGGGAGAGUUUCGUCAGCACGACGGCGUGGUGACGAUGAUGAUGUUCCACCGACGCAGGGCUUCGCCUAAGCUUCGCAACGGUAUUAUCGAGGUGUAAUAUGGUGGAGAGGGGCACCGCACACGGCUAAGAGAUCUCAAGGAUCAAUUGUUGUGUUUUUGGGGUGCCCCUCUGCCCCCGUAUAUAAAGGAGCAAGGGGGAGGCAGCCGGCCAAGGGGAGAGGCGCGCCAAAGGGGGUAGGACUCCUCCUUUCCUUGUUGGAAUAGGAGAAGGGAAAGGAGAAGGAGAAAGAAGGAAGGGGGCGCCCCCCUUCCCUAGUCCAAUUCGGACCAGAUCAUGGGGAGGGGCGCGGCCACCUUUUGAGGCCUUUCUCUCCUUUCCCGUAUGGCCCAUUAAGGCUCAAUACGAAUUCCCGUAACUCUCCGGUACUCCGAAAAAUACCCGAAUCACUCGGAACCUUUCCGAAGUCCGAAUAUAGUCGUCCAAUAUAUCGAUUUUUACGUCUUGACCAUUUCGAGACUCCUCGUCAUAUCCCCGAUCUCAUCCGGGACUCCGAACUCCUUCGGUACAUCAAAACUCAAUAAAACUAUCAUCGUAACGUUAAGCGUGCGGACCCUACGGGUUCGAGAACUAUGUAGACAUGACUGAAACACAUCUCCGGUCAAUAACCAAUAGCGGGACCUGGAUGCCCAUAUUGGCUCCCACAUAUUCUACGAAGAUCUUUAUCGGUCAGACCGCAUAACAACAUACGUUGUUCCCUUUGUCACCGGUAUGUUACUUGCCCGAGAUUUGAUCGUCGGUAUCUCAAUACCUAGUUCAAUCUCGUUACCGGCAAGUCUCUUUACUCGUUCCGUAACACAUCAUCCCGCAACUAACUCAUUAGUCACAAUGCUUGCAAGGCUUAUAGUGAUGUGCAUUACCGAGUGGGCCCAGAGAUACCUCUCCGACAAUUGGAGUGACAAAUCCUAAUCUCGAAAUACGCCAACCCAACAAGUACCUUUGGAGACACCUGUAGAGCACCUUUAUAAUCACCCAUUUACGUUGUGACGUUUGGUAGCACACAAAGUGUUCCUCCGGUAAACGGGAGUUGCAUAAUCUCAUAGUCAUAGGAACAUGUAUAAGUCAUGAAGAAAGCAAUAGCAACAUACUAAACGAUCGAGUGCUAAGCUAACGAAAUGGGUCAAGUCAAUCACGUCAUUCUCCUAAUGAGGUGAUCCCGUUAAUCAAAUCACAACUCAUGUCUAUGGCUAGGAAACAUAACCAUCUUUGAUUAACGAGCUAGUCAAGUAGAGGCAUACUAGUGACACUCUGUUUGUCUAUGUAUUCACACAUGUAUUAUGUUUCCGGUUAAUACAAUUCUAGCAUGAAUAAUAAACAUUUAUCAUGAUAUAAGGAAAUAAAUAAUACUUUAUUAUUGCCUCUAGGGCAUAUUUCUUCAGUCUCCCACUUGCACUAGAGUCAAUAAUCUAGUUCACAUCGCCAUGUGAUUUAACAUCAAUAAUUCACAUCACCAUGUGAUUAACACCCAUAGUUCACAUCUCUAUGUGACCAACACUCAAAGGGUUUACUAGAGUCAAUAAUCUAGUUCACAUCGCUAUGUGAUUAACACCCAAAGAGUACUAAGGUGUGAUCAUGUUUUGAUUUGUGAGAUAAUUUUAGUCAACGGGUCUGUCACAUUCAGAUCCGUAAGUAUUUUGCAAAUUUCUAUGUCUACAAUGCUCUGCACGGAGCUACUCUAGCUAAUUGCUCCCACUUUCAAUAUGCAUCUAGACCGAGACUUAGAGUCUUCUAGAUUUAGUGUCGAAACUUGCAUCGACGUAACCCUUUACGAUGAACCUUUUGUCACUUCCAUAAUCGAGAAACAUUUCCUUAUUCCACUAAGGAUAAUUUUGACCGUUGUCCAGUGAUCUACUCCUAGAUCACUAUUGUACUCCCUUGCCAAAAUCAGUGUAGGGUAUACAAUAGAUCGGGUACACAGCAUGGCAUACUUUAUAGAACCUAUGGCCAAGGCAUAGGGAAUGACUUUCAUUCUCUUUCUAUCUUCUGCCGUGGUCGGGCUUUGAGUCUUACUCAAUUUCACACCUUGUAACACAGGCAAGAACUCUUUCUUUGACUGUUCUAUUUUGAACUACUUCAAAAUCUUGUUAAGGUAUGUACUCAUUGAAAAAACUUAUCAAGCGUCUUGAUCUAUCUCUAUAGAUCUUGAUGCUCAAUAUGUAAGCAGCUUCACCGAGGUCUUUCUUUGAAAAACUCCAAUCAAACACUCCUUUAUGCUUUGCAGAAUAAUUCUACAUUAUUUCCGAUCAACAAUAUGUCAUUCACAUAUACUUAUCAGAAAUGUUGUAGUGCUCCCACUCACUUUCUUGUAAAUACAGGCUUCACCGCAAGUCUGUAUACAACUAUAUGCUUUGAUCAACUUAUCAAAGCGUAUAUUCCAACUCCGAAAUGCUUGCACCAGUCCAUUGAUGGAUCGCUGGAGCUUGCAUAUUUUGUUAGCACCUUUAGGAUUGACAAAACCUUCUGGUUGCAUCAUAUACAACUCUUCUUUAAUAAAUCCUUUAAGGAAUGCAGUUUUGUUUAUCCAUUUGCCAUAUAUCAUAAAAUGUGGCAAUUGCUAACAUGAUUCAGACGGACUUAAGCAUAGAUACGAUUGAGAAACUCUCAUCGUAGUCAACACCUUGAACUUGUCGAAAAACCUUUUUGCGACAAUUCUAGCUUUGUAGAUAGUAACACUACUAUCAGCGUCCGUCUUCCUCUUGACGAUCCAUUUAUUCUCAAUUGCUUGCCGAUCAUCGGGCAAGUCAACCAAAGUUCAUACUUUGUUCUUCAUACAUGGAUCUCAUCUCAGAUUUCAUGGCCUCAAGCCAUUUCGUGGAAUCUGGGCUCACCAUCGCUUCUUCAUAGUUCGUAGGUUCAUCAUGGUCUAGUAACAUAACCUCCAGAAUAGGAUUACCGUACCACUCUGGUGCGGAUCUUACUCUGGUUGACCUACGAGGUUCAGUAAUAACUUGAUCUGAAGUUCCAUGAUCAUCAUCAUUAACUUCCUCACUAAUUGGUAUAGGCGUCACAGAAACUGGUUUCUGCGAUGAACUACUUUCCAAUAAGGGAGCAGGUACAGUUACCUCAUCAAGUUCUAUUUUCCUCCCACUCACUUCUUUCGAGAGAAACUCCUUCUCUAGAAAGGAUCCAUUCUUAGCAACGAAUGUCUUGCCUUCGGAUCUGUGAUAGAAGGUGUACCCAACUGUCUCCUUUGGGUAUCCUAUGAAGACACAUUUCUCCGAUUUGGCUUUGAGCUUAUCAGGAUGAAACCUUUUCACAUAAGCAUUGCAACCCCAAGAAACGACAACUUUGGUUUCUUGCCAAACCACAGUUCAUAAGAUGUCGUCUCAACGGAUUUAGAUGGUACCCUUUUUAACGUGAAUGCAGCUGUCUCUAAUGCAUAACCCCAAAACGAUAGUGGUAAAUUGGUAAGAGACAUCAUAGAUUGCACUAUAUCCAAUAAAGUACGGUUAUGACGUUCGGACACACCAUUAUGCUAUGGUGUUCCAGGUGGCAUAAAUUUGUGAAACUAUUCCACAUUGUUUUAAUUGAAGACCAAACUCAUAACUCAAAUAUUUGUCUCCGCGAUCAGAUCGUAGAAACUUUAUUUUCUUGUUACGAUGAUUUUCUACUUCACUCUGAAAUUAUAUGAACUUUUCAAAUGUUUCAGACUUAUGUUUCAUCAAGUAGAUAUACCCAUAUCUGCUCGAAUCAUCUGUGAAGGUGAGAAAAUAACGAUAUCCGCCACGAGCCUCAAUAUUCAUUGGACCACAUACAUCUGUAUGUAUGACUUCCAACAAAUCUGUUGCUCUCUCCAUAGUUCCGGAGAACGGCGUUUUAGUCAUCUUGCCCAUGAGGCAUGGUUCGCAAGCAUCAAGUGAUUCAUAAUCAAUUCAUUCCAAAAUCCCAUCAGUAUGGAGUUUCUUCACGUGCUUUACACCAAUAUGACCUAAACGGCAGUGCCACAAAUAAGUUGCACUAUCAUUAUUAACUUUGCAUCUUUUGGCUUUAAUAUUAUGAAUAUGUGUAUCACUACUAUCGAGAUCCAACAAACCAUUUUCGUUGGUGUGUAUGACCAUAGAAGGUUUUAUUCAUGUAAACAGAACAACAAUUGUUCUCUAACUUAAAUGAAUAACCGUAUUGCAAUAAACAUGAUCAAAUCAUAUUCAUGCUCAACGCAAACACCAAAUAACACUUAUUUAGUUUCAACACUAAUCCCGAAAGUACAGGGAGUGUGCGAUGAUGAUCAUAUCAAUCUUGGAACUACUUCCAACACACAUCGUCACCUCGCCUUUUACUAGUCUCUGUUUAUUCUGCAACUCCCGUUUUCGAGUUACUACUCUUUAGCAACUGAACCAGUACCAAAUACUGAGGGGUUGCUAUAAACACUAGUAAGUACACAUCAAUAACAUGUAUAUCCAAUAUACCUUUGUUCACUUUGCCAUCCUUCUUAUCCACCAAAUACUUGGGGCAAUUCCGCCUCCAGUGACCACUUCCUUUGCAGUAGAAGCACUUAGUCUCAGGCUUAGGUACAGACUUGGGCUUCUUCACUUGAGUAGCAACUUGCUUGCCGUUCUUCUUGAAGUUCCCCUUCUAUCCCUUUGCCCUUUUCUUGAAACGAGUGGUCUUGUUAACCAUCAACACUUGAUGCUCUUUCUUGAUUUCUACCUUCGUCGAUUUCAGCAUCGCGAAGAGCUCGGGAUUUACUUUCGUCAUCCCUUACAUACUAUAGUUCAUCACGAAGUUCUACUAACUUUGGUGAUGGUGACUAGAGAAUUCUGUCAAUCACUAUUUUAUCUGGAGGAUUAACUCCCACUUGAUUCAAGCGAUUGUAGUACCCAGACAAUCUGAGCACAUGCUCACUAGUUGAGCGAUUCUCCUACAUCUUUUAGCUAUAGAACUUGUUGGAGACUUCAUAUCUCUCAACUCGGGUAUUUGCUUGAAAUAUUAACUUCAACUCCUGGAACAUCUCAUAUGGUCCAUGACGUUCAAAACAUCUUUGAAGUCCCGAUUCUAAGCCAUUAAGCAUGGUGCACUAAACUAUCAAGUAGUCAUCAUAUUGAGCUAGCCAAACGUUCAUAACAUCUACAUCUGCUCCUGCAAUAGGUCUGUCACCUAGCGGUGCAUCAAGGACAUAAUUUUUCUGUGCAGCAAUGAGGAUAAUCCUCAGAUCACGGAUCCAAUCCGCAUCUUUGCUACUAACAUCUUUCAACAUAAUUUUCUCUAGGAACAUAUCAAAAUAAAACAGGGAAGCAACGACGCGAGCUAUUGAUCUACAACAUAAUUUGCAAAAUACUAUCAGGACUAAGUUCAUGAUAAAUUUAAGUUCAAUUAAUCAUAUUACUUAAGAACUCCCACUUAGAUAGAUAUCCCUCUAAUCAUCUAAGUGAUUACGUGAUCCAAAUCAACUAAACCAUGUCCGAUCAUCACGUGAGAUGGAGUAGUUUCAAUGGUGAACAUCACUAUGUUGAUCAUAUCUACUAUAUGAUUCACGCUCGACCUUUCGGUCUCCGUGUUCCGAGGCCAUAUCUGUUAUAUGCUAGGCUCGUCAAGUUUAACCUGAGUAUUCCGCGUGUGCAACUGUUUUGCACCCGUUGUAUUUGAACGUAGAGCCUAUCACACCCGAUUAUCACGUGGUGUCUCAGCACGAAGAACUUUCGCAACGGUGCAUACUCAGGGAGAACACUUAUACUUUGAUAAUUUAGUGAAGGAUCAUCUUAUAAUGCUACCGUCAAACAAAGCAAGAUAAGAUGCAUAAAGGAUUAACAUCACAUGCAAUCAAUAUAAGUGAUAUGAUAUGGCCAUCAUCAUCUUGUGAUUGUGAUCUCCAUCUCCGAAGCACCGUGCUUGUGAUCUCCAUCUCCGAAGCACCGUGCUUGUGAUCUCCAUCUCCGAAGCACCGUCAUGAUCACCAUCGUCACCGGCGCGACACCUUGAUCUCCAUCGUAGCAUCGUUGUCGUCUCGUCAAUCUUAUGCUUCUACGACUAUCGCUACCGCUUAGUGAUAAAGUAAAGCAUUACAUGGCGAUUGCAUUGCAUACAAUAAAACGACAACCAUAUGGCUCCUGCCAGUUGCCGAUAACUCAGUUACAAAACAUGAUCAUCUCAUACAACACAUUAUAUCACAUCAUGUCUUGACCAUAUCACAUCACAACAUGCCCUGCAAAAACAAGUUAGACGUCCUCUACUUUGUUGUUGCAAGUUUUACGUGGCUGCUACGGGCUUAGCAAGAACCGUUCUUACCUACGCAUCAAAACCACAACGAUAGUUUGUCAAGUUGGUGUUGUUUUAACCUUCGCAAGGACCGGGCGUAGCCACACUCGGUUCAACUAAAAUGAGAGAGACAGUCACCCGCCAGUCACCUUUAAGCAACGAGUGCUCGCAACGGUGAAACCAGUCUCGCGUAAGCGUACGCGUAAUGUCGGUCCGGGCCGCUUCAUCUCACAAUACCGCUGAACCAAAGUAUGACAUGCUGGUAAGCAGUAUGACUUAUAUCGCCCACAACUCACUUGUGUUCUACUCGUGCAUAGCAUCAACGCAUAAAACCUGGCUCAGAUGCCACUGUUGGGGAACGUAGUAAUUUCAAAAACUUUCCUACGCACACGCAAGAUCAUGGUGAUGCAUAGCAACGAGAGGGGAGAGUGUUGUCCACGUACCCUCGUAGACCGACAGCGGAAGCGUUAUCACAACGCGGUUGAUGUAGUCGUACGUCUUCACGAUCCGACCGAUCAAGUACCGAACGUACGGCACCUCCGAGUUCUACACACAUUCAGCUCGAUGACGUCCCUUGAACUCCGAUCCAGCCGAGUGUUGAGGGAGAGUUUCGUCAGCACGACGGCGUGGUGGCGAUGAUGAUGUUCCACCGACGCAGGGCUUCGCCUAAGCUCCGCAACGGUAUUAUCCAGGUGUAAUGUGGUGGAGAGGGGCACCGCACACGGCUAAGAGAUCUCAAGGAUCAAUUGUUGUGUUUCUGGGGUGCCCCCCUGCCCCCGUAUAUAAAGGAGCAAGGGGGAGGCAGCCGGCCAAGGGGAGAGGCGCGCCAAAGGGGGGUAGGACUCCUCCUUUCCUUGUUGGAAUAGGAGAAGGGAAAGGAGAAGGAGAAAGAAGGAAGGGGGUGCCCCCCUUCCCUAGUCCAAUUCGGACCAGAUCAUGGGGAGGGGCGCGGCCACCUUUUGAGGCCUUUCUCUCCUUUCCCGUAUGGCCCAUUAAGGCCAAAUACGAAUUCCCGUAACUCUCCGGUACUCCAAAAAAUACCCGAAUCACUCGGAACCUUUCCGAAGUCCGAAUAUAGUCGUCCAAUAUAUCGAUUUUUACGUCUCGACCAUUUCGAGACUCCUCGGCAUAUCCCCGAUCUCAUCCGGGACUCCGAACUCCUUCGGUACAUCAAAACUCAAUAAAACUGUCAUCGUAACGUUAAGCGUGCGGACCCUACAGGUUCGAGAACUAUGUAGACAUGACUGAGACACGUCUCUGGUCAAUAACCAAUAGCGGGACCUGGAUGCCCAUAUUGGCUCCCACAUAUUCUACGAAGAUCUUUAUCGGUCAGACCGCAUAACAACAUACGUUGUUCCCUUUGUCACCGGUAUGUUACUUGCCCGAGAUUUGAUCGUCGGUAUCUCAAUACCUAGGUCAAUCUCGUUACCGGCAAGUCUCUUUACUCGUUCCGUAACACAUCAUCCCGCAACUAACUCAUUAGUCACAAUGCUUGCAAGGCUUAUAGUGAUGUGCAUUACUGAGUGGGCCCAGAGAUACCUCUCCGACAAUUGGAGUGACAAAUCCUAAUCUCGAAAUACGCCAACCCAACAAGUACCUUUGGAGACACCUGUAGAGCACCUUUAUAAUCACCCAUUUACAUUGUGACGUUUGAUAGCACACAAAGUGUUCCUCCGGUAAAGGGGAGUUGCAUAAUCUCAUAGUCAUAGGAACAUGUAUAAGUCGUGAAGAAAGCAAUAGCAACAUACUAAACGAUCGAGUGCUAAGCUAACGGAAUGGGUCAAGUCAAUCACAUCAUUCUCCUAAUGAGGUGAUCCCGUUAAUCAAAUGAUAACUCAUGUCUACGGCUAGGAAACAUAACCAUCUUUGAUUAACGAGCUAGUCAAGUAGAGGCAUACUAGUGACACUCUGUUUGUCUAUGUAUUCACACAUGUAUUAUGUUUCCGGUUAAUACAAUUCUAGCAUGAAUAAUAAACAUUUAUCAUGAUAUAAGGAAAUAAAUAAUACUUUAUUAUUGCCUCUAGGGCAUAUUUCCUUCACCCCUGUGUUCGAUGGACGGGGCUCCUCGUCAUCGUCCUUGCUUUGCGAUCCCUUCUCCUUGUUUUCGGCAUUUAACUUGCCGGCCUGUUUAAAAACCCAACAGUCUCUGUUGGUAUGAUUGGCUGGCUUGUCAGGGGUGCCGUGUAUCUGGCAUGGGCGAUCGAGUAUUCGGUCCAAACUGGAUGAGCCCGAAUUGUUCUUUUUGAACGGCUUCUUCCGCUGGCUGGACUUGGAGCCACUGAAUCCGGCGUUGACCGCCGUGUCGUCGGUAUUAUCAACGUUGUUUCGACGCUUGUGUCUGUUGCGUCGGAGCUUGCCGUUGCUAUUCCUGCCUUCCGCAGUGCCAAGUCGCUUACAUUGUUGUUGCUACAGGCUAGCCAGCUAUCUUUGCCCAUGCAAAAGCGGGUCAUAAGUGCCGUAAGGGCUGCCAUAGACUUCGGCUUUUCUUGGCCGAGGUGUCGGGCGAGCCAUUCGUCUCGGAUGCUGUGUUUAAAGGCCGCCAGGGCUUCGGCAUCCGGACAGUCGACGAUCUAGUUCUUUUGGUUAAGAACCUAGUCCGGAGUUUCCUGGCUGACUCUCCGGGCUGUUGAAUUAUGUGACUUAAGUCAUCAGCAUCCGGAGGUCGAACAUAUGUACCUUGGAAGUUGUCGAGGAAGGCGUCUUCCAAGUCCUCCCAGCUGCCAAUUGAAUUUUCGGGCAGACAGUUCAACCAGUACCGAGCUGGUCCCUUGAGUUUUAGCGGGAGGUAUUUGAUGGCAUGAAGAUCAUCACCAGGGGCCAUACGGACAUGGAGAAGAAAAUCCUCAAUCCAUACCGCGGGUCCGUUGUCCCGUCAUAUGAUUCGAUGUUCACGGGUUUAAACCCUUCCGGGAAUUCAUGAUCCAUUACUUCAUCAGUGAAGCAAAGGGGGUGUGCGGCGCCUCUAUAUCAGGCCACAUCGCGACGUAGCUCAGAUGGAGUCCGUCUGCGGUUCUCGGCCCGGGCGUGAGUAUGAUUGUUACGUCCGGCUAGAUAGCCGUUGUCGCGUAUCGGGGCGCGUCCCCGUGAUCCAUAGAUCGAUCUGUUCUGACCUGCUCUACUGUCCAAGCCCUGGCGCAGGUCGUAGGUAUGUCCUCGAGCUGUUUUAUCUCUGCCUUUACGGUGAGGUGGGGCGGGCUGGUGUUCAGCUUGAGUUGCCGCUUUGUCCCGACCAUGUGGUGGUCGGUCAGCCGCAUUGCGCAAUGAUGGUACGGGCUCCAGUGCCUCAUCAUCGAACUGAGGUAGCAAUUUACGCUUCGGGUAACUUUUGGCUGGGCGCUUGAGACCGUAUUCCUCGGCUGCCAGGACAUUAGUCCAUCUAUCGUUGAGCAGAUCUUGAUUAGCUUGAAGCUGAUGCUGCUUCUUUUUCAGGCUCCUUGCAGUGGCUAUUAGCCGGCGCUUAAAGCGCUCCUGCUCGAGAGGUUCCUCAGGCACGAUAAAACCCUCGUUGCCGCCUCGGAGAGCAGAAGAUAAUUACUGUCCUCCGAGUCUUCGUGUAUGGCCUGUUCAUCAGGGCUAACUUGCUCGUCUUCCCGUUCAUCCUGUUCGGAAGUUGCCUCAACGGGGUCUUCAUUGUCUUCGGCACUGUCCAGAGUGUUACCUUCUCUUGUGCCGGUAUCGCUGUCUUUUGCACGGCGUGAUUUAGAGCGGCACCGCUGACGUCGGUGUUUUGGCUAUAUCUCGGGAGGUUUAUCCUCGACUGGAUCCUUCUUGUUGUCGCCAUUGUUCUCUUUAGGUGUGUCCACCAUGUAUACGUCAUACGAGGAAGUGGUCGUCCAACGUCCGGUAAAUGGCGGGUUUUGGGCCUCCUCUUCUCCGACAUUGUCGUCCAUACCGUCGAUGUCUUCGGAGCUGUAAUCGAGCAUGUCGGUUAAGUCCUCGAUAGUGGCUAUGAAGUGGGCGGUGGGUGGGAAACGAAAUUCUCCGUCAUCAGCCUCCAGUUCGAACCGGAUAUAAUUCGGCUGUGAGUCCCCCGCUAAGGAGAGUGUUUUUAAUGAGUUUAGCACGUCACCUAAAGGCGAGUAUCGGAAGAUGUCCGCGGAGCUGAAUUUGACGAUCGACCCCCGAUCAAGCUCGUCGUGCGCGGACGCACAUGCUUCGGAACCUAUAGCCGGAAACGUGUUCGAGGUUCCGGUAACACAGAUCCCACUUGAGGUUGGGUCUGUGUGCGGCUCCAAUGCCGCUGAGUCUGCGGUCUCCAUGGCGGGGUUGAGCCUCCCGUCCUCGGAUGGCGUGAUCUGCUCCGGAUCUGGGGCCAGAGCAGUUGCAGGCGCUAUCUCCUGGGUAUGGUCCGAUGACAGAUUUAAGUCGUGUUCAUCGUGGUGACCGGGAGCGGCUGCCGCAGUCUCGAAUCCGUCGAAGAUCAAGUCUUCGCGGAUAUCCGCGACGUAGUUCAAGCUUCCGAAUCUGACUUGAUGGCCAGGGGCGUAGCUGUCGGUCUGCUCUAGAUGGCCAAGCGAGUUGGCCCGUAGUGCGAAGUCACCGAAUACGAAGAUCUGUCCGGGGAGGAAGACUUCUCCCUGAACAGCAUUGUUGUAGAUGAUUGACGGGGCCAUCGAACCUCUUGACGACGACACAGCGGAACUCUCAACGAAAGCACCAAUGUCGGUGUCAAAACUGGCGGAUCUCGGGUAGGGGGUCCCGAACUUUGCGUCUAAGGUCGAUGGUAACAGGAGACGGGGGGCACGAUGUUUACCCAGGUUCAGGCCCUCUCUAUGGAGGUAAUACCCUACUUCCGGCUUGAUUGAUCUUGAUGAAUAUGAGUAUUACAAGAGUAGAUCUACCACAAGAUCGUAAUGGCUAAAACCCUAAAAGUCUAGCCUGUAUGACUAUGAUUGUUCUUCUGCCCUCUACGGACUAAGCCCUCCGGUUUAUAUAGACACCGGAGGGGACUAGGGUUGUACAAAGUCGGUUACAGAGAAAGGAAUCUUCAUAUACGAACGCCCAGCUUGCCUUCCACACCAAGGUGAGUCCCAUCCGUACACGGGUGAGAGUCUUCAGUCUUGCAUCUUCACAGCCCAUCAGUCCGGCCCAUGUCCAACAGGCCGGACGCCCGAGGACCCCUUAAUCCAGGACUCCCUCAGCUGCGUCUCUGGCCCGCCCAGGACGAAAGGCCCAUUUUCUGUCAUGAUUUUUUGUCAUAGAAGUAGGAGCCCACCACAUCUAUGAUGAUAUCGGGUUUUGUCACAAUUAUCGUCAUAGAAGUGUCAUAAGCAUGACAGAAAAAAUUCAUUCGGCCCCAAAUGUCACAGAUGUGUCUUUUUUGUAGUGUAUGUUAAGUGUGUGCAUGUGUGCACGAUAUCAAGCGGCUCCUAAAGAGUGUCAUCUUAAGGCCAUGAAAAGGAUAGUGAGAUAUUUAAUUCAUACACCUAACUUUGGCAUUUGGUAUCCUAAGAGGUCAUCUUUUGAUCUUGUUGGCUAUUCCGACUCGGACUAUGUCGGUGACAAGGUUGAUAGGAAGUCCACUUCGGGUACGUGUCAAUUUCUUGGUAGAUCUCUUGUCUCUUGGUCCUCCAAGAAACAAAACUCGGUAUCCUUAUCCACCGCUGACGCGGAAUAUAUUGCCGCCGGAUCAUGUUGUGCUUAAUUACUUUGGAUGACCCAAACUCUUAAAGAUUAUGGGAUACAUGUGAAACAUGUUCCAUUGCUUUGUGACAAUGAGAGUGCUAUUAAGAUUGCUCACAAUCCCGUGCAACAUUCUCGAACUAAGCAUAUUGAACUUCGCCAUCAUUUCAUUCGUGAUCAUGUUGCAAAAGGAGACAUCAAUCUUAAGCAUGUUUGUACCGAUAAGCAAUUGGCGAAUAUAUUCACUAAACCGCUUGAUGAAAAUGUAUUUUGCCGUUUGAGAGGUGAAUUGAACAUAAUUGAUGCCUCAAACUUGGAAUAGAGAUUCCAUUUGGAUACAUGCAAGGCACGAGCCUUGGUGACUAAUUCUUAAUAUUUCUCUUAUGAUGGUGAUCAUUUGUCUUGGAUGUAUAUUUGCACCCUUGCAUGUUAUCUAACCCGUGUAGGUACUUGUAUGAGCCUAAAUCUAUGACAUUGCAAGUCACUCACAUUUUGAGCAAUUUCUACAUCACCAAGUUCCUAUGGUUUGGUUGUUGAUUUCAAGGAAGCAUGAACUCACUCAACAUAUCCUUUGACUAUUUCAAUAUAUUAAAUUUCAAUUGGCAUCAAGUUUCAUGAUUGUCAAUUUGGAUACACAAGUGCCCUUCCUUGCAAACUAACCCAUGUAGGAAGAUGAACUUCAACUCGAAAGGGUGCUCCCAACUACAACAACCUCAAGCAUCCAAUAUAGGUUCAACUACAUGAUCAAGAUCAACACACCAAUCAAAGGUAUGUUAUUCCAUCUUAGAGAAGCUUUACUCCAAAUCAUGAGUUAAAGCAACUCAACAAGGUGUGAAUACAUCAAAAUGUUUAAUGAAAAAUGGCAACCCCAUUUUGAGCUUAAACAUUGAGUAUGACCUAUGAUCAAGUGAUCUCACUUGACUCCUAAGUCAAUAUACUCUAACAUAGGUGACCUUGUCGCCGACCAUCUCUAGAUGAAGUUCUUUAGUAUUCUUGUGCCCUUUGUAUUUAUUUUGCAUGUUUUCUUUCUAGAGUGAUCCCUUCUAUCUUUCAAAAAAAUACUUCAUCUAGAUCUCUUUUGUUUUUCUCUGUCAUCUGUCUGUGUAUCUUAUGUUAAUUCAUUGCAAAUCCUUAUGACAAUUCCUUGAAAAUCUUUGUGAAAUUUCAUUUGCCAAGUGAGCUGAGAUGACAAAAUUUUCUUCUGCGUUGAACUCGGUCCCACCGAUCCAAGCCCGUCGGCCUGACCGAACUACAAGGAUCUCUUGUAUACAGUUCAUCGGCACAACCGACAAGGACUAACUCGGUCUGACCAACAAGCACCCUCUGUGGCUCUGAUAUCUCGAAAUCACCGAUGGAAACAGAUCGGCGUCACCGAUUUCCUUGCUGAGAAAACAUUUUGCCAUUUUAUAUUGCCUAUUUUCUUAAGCUCCACUCAAUGAUUUUUUUCUCUCUACCAGCAUCUCGAGCUACAUGCUGCUUUGUAGUGUCUCUCAAGGACCACACCUACCCGACUCAUAUUCCUGAAGUGCCCUUCUUGGAAAUUGAUGUCAAAGGGGGGGAGAGGGAGCACAUCAAAGCUUAUCAAAUCAAGAGAGCACAUGUAAGCUCUCCUAAAAGAUGCUUGUUAACAAGAGGAGAGAAGCCACAUGUCUUUAAGAGGGGAAAGACAUGUUAGUAUGAUUGAUUCUAGUUUUGCUCUAUCCUAUUCGAUCUAUCUUUGAUCUAUUUGCCUUCUUUGCUCUAGUUUUUAUCUCACCCAAUCUUCUCCCAUUAUCCAAUGUUAGAUUCAAGGGGAGAAAGAGUCUAUGUUUAACUUAAGGGGAGAAAAAUCCUUGGAACUUACUGCAAAUCUUUACAUCUUUGGGGACGUGUCUAUAUCUGAAUGAAGUACUCACUUAUAGUACUCACCCAUUACAUGUCAUCCCAGUCUUGGUAUUCUUGUGGAUCUUGGAAUCCUUGUUGUUUGGAGUGUUCUUGUGUUAUCUAACUCUGUUUUCUCAAGUCUACUCCUUCAAAAGUCUGCUCAAGAACCACAAGGUAAGUAUAUGCAUCACACUCAUGUGCAUGAUAAUCUCUUGUUGUUGCACAUAUUGUUUGCAAGAGGGAUUCAUAAACAUGAUGGUACAUUUUCAAUCACAUUAUUUGCUCUGAUGCAUAUAGCCAAGAUACAUGUGACACAUUAUCUACUCGUCAUGCUAUGCAUUCACAUGUUCUUCCAUCUUAUCUUUACUUGAUUGCAUACAUGUAGGGGGAGCUUAUGCAUGUUACAUGUCUCUCCAAAGCUUUGAUUACUAUUCUUUAUAUCAUUUAUUUAAAGCUUUGAUGUAUCUUGUCAUCAAUUACCAAAAAGGGGGAGAUUGAAACCACAAGUGCUCCCAUGGUGAUUUUGGUAAUUAAUGUCAACAUAUCUCUUUUUGGACUAAUGGUUUCAUCUAGUAUAUUUCAGACAAGUUCAACAUUGGCGUGGCAUGGACAAGAGGAUAUGGAACCCCUUCAAAAUGCUAAGGACAAAUAUUGGCAAAAGCUCAAGACUCUUCAUCUUUAUUUUUAGUGAUCCAAGAUCACAUUGAGUCCGUAGGAAAACCAAUACUAUUAAAACGGGAUGAGGUGUUGCUUAAUGGAUUGCUUGCUCAAAUGCUUAGUGAUAUUGCUCCAAAACCCUCAACCACUUUCUCCAUCCAAAUAUGUCCAAAACCUAAACUACAACUCGGCCCCAUCGAUUCUUUCUAUCUGGAGCCACUGAGUUCACAUGACUUAGCCACAGCCAGAAACCCUAGCAAUUCUGUCUCACCUAUACGGGUCUCGGUCUCACCGAGAUAGCCUUGCAAACUCUCUGUAACCUGUUGUAAUUAUUUCGAUCUCACUGAAAUGUGCAAUCGGUCCCACCGAGUUUGCUUGACCAACUCUUUGUUGCCCUAUUGCUUCACUUCGGUCUCACUGAGUUGAUGCAAUCGGCGCCACCGAGAUGAGGUUUGCCCUAAGCCCUAGCACAUCGGCCCCACCGAGUUGUUCCAGUCAGUCCCACCGAGAUUCCUAACGUUCACAUUUUUGAACUGAUCGGUUCCACCAAGUUUAACCAUUCGGGCUCAUCGAGAUGAGUCAAAUGUGUGUAACGGGUGGAUUUUGUGUGGAGGCUAUAUAUACCCCUCCACCCCCUCUUCAUUCAUGGAGAGAGCCAUCAGAACAUGCCUACACUUACACGAUUCAUUUUCUGAGAGAGAACCACCUACUCAUGUAUUGAGAUCAAUACAUUCCAAUCCUACCACAAGAAUCUUGAUUUCUAGCCUUCCCCAAGUUGCUUUUCACUCAAAUCAUCUUUCCACCAUAGCCAAAUUUGUGAGAGAGAGUUGAGUGUUGGGGAGACUAUCAUUUUAAGCACAAGAGCAAGGAGUUCAUCAUCAACACACCAUCUAUUACCUUUUGGAGAGUGGUGUCUCCUAGAUUGGUUAGGUGUCUCUUGGGAGCCUUCGUCAUGAUAUGGAGUUGAACCAAGAAGUUUGUAAGGGCAAGGAGAUCACCUACUUCGUGAAGAUCUACCCGAGUGAGGCAAGUCCUUCGUGGGCGAUGGCCAUGGUGGGAUAGACAAGGUUGCUUCUUCGUGGACCCUUUGUGGGUGGAGCCCUUCAUGGACUCUCGCAGCCGUCACCCUUCGUGGGUUGAAGUCUCCAUCAACGUGGACGUACGAUAGCACCACCUAUCGGAACCACGCCAAAAAUCUCCGUGUCUCCAUUACGUUUGCAAACUUCAAUCACAUCCAUUUACUUCUUGCAACUUGCAUGCUUUACUUUUUCCGCUGCAUAUACUCUUGUCAUGCUUGCUUGAAAUGUAUUGACAGUGCUUUAACAUGUGCUAAACUCAACCUUAACUUGAAGAAUUUAAAAAACUGCCACUUUUACUUGUUAAGGGUCUAAUCACCCCCCUCUAGACCCCUCUUCUCGAUCCUUUCAAUUGUCCACACUACAAGUGCAACUAGAAGACCCCUCCCCCUUUGCGAAUGAACUAGAAGACCCCUUGGUCCUCAGCCUUGUUAUUAUUUUUACUUUUGUGGAAGGGGAUACGAGUCGUGAGAUCUGCCACAUCAAGUGGUCGAGUGCGCCUCCAUCAUUUCAACACAAAUUUUGUUGUAGAAUUAUUUCUGCAACAAAAGUCUUGUUGCAUAAUUUUUUUGUAACAGUUGUUUUGUUGCAAAAAAAAUUUACAAUUGAGGUUUUGUCUUGAAAAAUUAUGUAAUUGAGAUCUUGUUGCAGAAUAUUUUUGCAAUAGAGGUUUUGUUGCAAAACAUAUAGCCGUCGUCGACCAUUGCAAUACCACAUAUGUUUCGGAAACAUAACCCUGUUAGAGAAGCGUGUUCGACAAAUGAUGGUUUGCGGGCCCUCACUUGGACGUGUGUCAUAAAAGGAAGGUGCCGGAUGCGGCCGCUACAAUCCGCCGGGUGAUGGUAAGUGUUUCCCUUUGCGGAAAGGCUAAAGGUCAUAAAUUAGAUAAAACCAACCUUUACAAAACACUUGGAUAUAUAAGAAUAAGAAAUUACAAGCAAGUUUUUAAAGAAAACUGCACCAUAUUUCUUCUGUAUCUGUCAGUGAAGCAAUCUUGUUGAAACACAUGAGCUUGGCAAAACAUUGGCUGGGAGGUCGUUGACUUAGAUGUCAACGGUCACGAUCUACGCCGACCACAAACCCCGAGAUGCCGGCAUCGAGUAGGUCCCAAAGAUAAUCCCAACUCCGGCAAAAAAUGGAGGUGGCACAAACCUCAAGAGUUCCUCGACGAAGCACCAUCUGGAUGAGCUUAACCGGGCGAAAAAGAAAACCUAGAAAGGGCAGGCGAUCACCUAACAAAAAUGAAGACAAAACCAGACCCAAAUUAUGGCCCUGCAUGAAGCUUCACGCGUCCUCUCAUGCAAAACAAUGAUGCUUAGGUUUUCUCAGAGUCCCACGGUUGGUUGCUCUCACCCCAGGAUGCCUUUUUCGAAUUUGUUAAUUUUCAUCUAGAUGAGACUCAACAAAAUCUCAUCUAACUUCUACACUAUUUGAUUAUCCAAAUAAAAAAUAUAAAAAAUCUUUUUUUUCUAUGCCUUGUAUUUUCUUCCUGUCUAUGUUUUUCUAUGCCAUCGGCCUCUUCUUCUAGCAAUGAAAUCUGGCCUCUUCUUCUAGCAAUGAAAUCUUAGCAGCUCUCCUGCUGAAUUUUCAAAAGAAAAGAAAAAAGAGGACAACAAAACUGAGCUGGCAAAAAUGUCCGCGGAUCCGCGUGACCCAGCCGAGCCCUACGGCCCGCCCGACCCAACCUCCGACACCCGCCGCCGGGAACGCGCAUGCGCAUCCGCCGCCCGUUCUCCGCUGACCGCGCCCACCUUCCCCGCCGGCCGAGUCAACCCAAUCGCCCAACACGAAACCAUCCCAAUUCCCCUCCAUUUCCGCCCAAAAUACUCCGGCAACAGCAAGGCUCACCAGAAUGCGGCCUCUCCUCAGCGCCGCCGCCGUCCUCCUCCUCCUCCUCCUCCCCCUCGCCGCCGGCCAGCGAUUCCGCGGCUUCUCCUACCUCCUCGACUGCGGCGCCGCGGCCCCCUCCACCGACAGCCGCGGCCUCCGCUGGGACCCCGACGGCCCCUACGUCUCCGCCGGCUCCGCCCGUCCGCUCUCGGUCCAGGGCCUCCUCGACCCCACCCUCGCCUCCCUCCGCGUCUUCCCGUAUCGCCCCGCCGCCAAGUUCUGCUACGCGCUCCCCGUCGACCCCAAUCGCCGCUACCUCCUCCGCCCGACCUUCUUCUACGGCCCCUCCUCGACGGCCCCGCCCGUGUUCGACCUCAUCGUCGACGGCACCUUCUGGACCGCCGUCGACACCGCCGAUGACAUCCUGGCCGGCAGCGCCUCGCACUACGAGGCCGUGUUCCCGGCCAGGGGCAGGAACUUGACCUUCUGCCUCGGCGUCAACCCCGACUACACCGACUCCGGCCCGUUCAUCAACGCGCUGCAGGUCAUCCAGCUCCAUGAUUCGGUGUACAACGCCACGGAUUUCACGGGCAGCGCCAUGGGCCUCAUUGCGCGCACCAAGUUUGGCUCCACUGGCGACGUCGAGAGGUGAGUGCCCACUUCUCUGGCCUUGAUUUCAGUGCCCUUCUAGUGAUGAAGUGCUAGAUGUUCUGUGAUUUCCCAUAAUUUGAGUAGGUUUAGGAAUUAGGACUGCAGAAGCAGAACUGACUCAUUGUCGAUAUGGCUGAGAAUGCUGUCGAUCAGGCAUACACCAGUUUUUGUCGCAAGAUAGUACCAGUUGGGCCAGUUCUUUGUGAACUGAAUAGCUAUAGGUUUCAGCUGUUUCUGAUCUGAGGUUUAUUUUGUCAUGUAAAGUAACUCUGGAUGUGGUUCACAACAUUUAUUCGGUAGAUGUAGGUUGAUUUGGUAGUUUUCUUUCUUUAGAACUCUUCUAAUUUAUAUGGUCAUGUUGCGGCUGUUGCUUCUUUUGGCUCCUAUAGCAUGUUGAGCAAUGAACAUGAUUCCCCAAUCCCCAAUAUCAAAGAAGCAGAAUUCACCAUAUCGAAUCCCUAUACUUUUUCGAGGAAACAUGUGCAUGCACUAGUGAUUAGAACUUUACAAGUGUAUUCCAAGGAACAAAUAGGUACUCCCUCCGUAAACUAAUAUAAGAGUGUUUAGAUUACUAUUUUAGUGAUCUAAACACUCUUAUAUUAUUACAGAGGGAGUACUUGUUAAAAAGAUGCUCACUAAAUGAAGUACAAAAAGGAAAGAAGCGUGUCGGCCUAUAUGAUAUAUGUUUCUCUUUUCUUUCAUUCUCCCUUUUGUAGAGGACUACAAAUUACAAGCUUUAUGUAGUUUUUUCUUGUGAGGAAGUUCUGUAGAUCCCUGACUUCAUUUUCUUCAUUACAUUCGAACUUAGGUACCCUGAUGACAGUUUUGACCGCUAUUGGCAGCCAUUUCCAGACAGCAAACAUGCAGUCAGUAGUACCCACAACGUUACAUCAGCCGAUUUCUGGAAUCUUCCUCCUCCUGAUGUAUUUAAUACAGCUUUGGUAGCAGAACAAAAUGCACCAUUGGUGUUGCAAUGGCCUCCAAUAUCUCUUCAGAAUGGCAGCUAUUAUGUUUCCCUUUAUUUUGCUGAUACAUUGGCUAAUAGUUCGAGGACCUUGGAUGUGAAUAUUAAUGAUUACCAGUUUUACGAAGGGACAGUAACAUCAGCUGGUCUUUCUGUCUUUGCAACUCAAUGGAUUCUCUCAGGCCUAACCAGAGUUAUAUUGACUUCUAAGUCUGUUCUUCCACCACUUAUCAAUGCUGGCGAAGUCUUUGGAAUUUUUCCCAUUGGAAGACUGACAAUUACACGUGAUGGUACAUCAUUUGCUGCAUUUAUUCCUUUAUUAUCAAUUGUUUCCCCCUGAGUUGACAGUGCAUGCAAACAUGCAAUGAAACAUUUCCUGUUCAGCCUGAUGCAAUGCACAUUACGUAUGUAAAUGUGUAAUGAUUCUGGUAGCACUGAUUCAGUUAUUUGUAUGGUAGAUUGCAUGUUUAUGUACUGUGUUAGCAACAUGUCAUCAAAAUGUGCUUUCGGUGAAUUUGCGUAUACAUGACCAUUCGACAUCUCUCCCAAUUUUAGCAUCACCUCGAGUCGUACUUGUAUUGUUCAGGUAUUUUUAUCAAGUGUGCACAUCGACUUUAGGUUGUACUGAGUGUCCUUUAAAUAUUGUUGUGGGCGUAUUACAUGUUCUUGCAAUGCAGCAAGUUGCUCUAACUUGCGCCUGUCUCUUUUAUGAAAUUGACCUAGUACUUCCAUUUCUUUACAGCGCUUGCUAUGGAGAGUAUGAAGAGAAGCCUCCAAAACAUACCUGAUGAUUGGAUUGGAGAUCCAUGUAUGCCUCAUGGAUAUGCUUGGACUGGAGUUACAUGUCAAGAAGGACAAAAUGAAAAUAUACGUGUCAUUUCAUUGUGAGUUCAACUCAUGAUCCUUCCAUCUAUACGAUGCAAUUCUUUUAUCCUUUGCAAGUUUGCAGUAACAAUUCUUUGUAUUGGUCUACACCAGGAACUUUUCAAGUAUGGGUAUCUCCGGAUCUCUGUCACCUGACAUUGCAAACCUGACUGCUCUUACUGAUAUGUAAAUUCUAUUUAUAAUCGAUCAAAGUGAAUGAAAUAUAAGCUAGCAAAAUGACACUAUUACCAUUGGCAGAUCUUUUGCAAACAAUAGCUUGUCUGGAACUAUUCCUGAUCUCAUCAAUCUGGGUAAACUCCAACGACUGUAAGCUAACCCUUCGACCUUUGCAAAUUAGUUUGAAAAUUGUUUAUACAAUCAUACUAUUUAUACGUUACUUCGAAAAUUGGUUUGUCUUUACUCUUUAGGUACCUGAAUGAUAACAAGUUGAAUGGAAAAAUAGCUCAGACGUUGGGGACAAUUCAGCCCUUGCGUGAACUGUGAGUUGAUUUGUGUCAAUAUUUUUACUUAUUGGUUAUUGUUCCAGUUUCAGAAUAUUUGCCUGCAUUACUUCUCAUGUCUGAGUAUUCAAAGAACAGAAAGCAUAAAACACGAAAAGCCUAGCAACUAUUUUAGAAACAUUUGCCAGGCCCCCGGGUUGCCCUUUCAGGCAGCACUUAGAUCAUAGGACUGAUGGCAGCGUGGCUUCUUCCCGCUCGUCCAUUGCCAAUGGUGUUGGAGGAGGAUGGUUACUAUGUGCCGUUCAGAUCUUUCCAGUGGUGUUUGGUUCCAGGAGGUGUUUUGCUCGAUUGGCGCAGUGGCUGUAGUGGUAAAUGUGGCAGCUCUGGCGGUCAUGGAGGCUCAGAUCUGGAAGCUGAAGCGGCUCCUUGGCCAUAAGUGAAACUGAUCCCAUAUCCACAGUAUUUUGCCAUAAGUGCAACACCUCAAACCUGGGGGACUCUAUUUUAUUCUCACUGCAAGUUCCCUAGAUUGUUGUUGUUAAUUCACGUGGGAUGGAGCUUUCUCUCAAAUUCCCACUCCUAAUUCCCACCAAGCACCAAACGUGGGUUUGGGACUAAUAAUCAACUUCUCAAGCCUAAUCCCCCAAUAAACCCCCACCUGUAAAUUGCCGUCCCCUUUCCCCGAAAUAGCCAUACACGCUGAGAGAGUAUUCAAGCCACAAACUUUUUUCUAUGUCGAUCUACAGUAGUUCAUUUUCAUUCUGAAGAUGUAACUAUUCCUUGGCCAAUAUUCGGUAUCUGCAUGGUGUGCUUAUUUCUGUUGUUGGCAAUUUUACCCAUUGGAUAUAUUUGAUUCACCCCUGAGUAGCCAAUUGCAUCUCCUUUAGUGCAUUUUGUGAGUUUUUGCAGUCGGCAUUUUGUUAGAAAAAAAUGAUUGGUCGUUUGUAAAUCGACUGUACUUGCAUGGACUCCGUGCAAUGUUUAACAAAAAAAUAUCCGCAUGUAAAUUGUAUUCCCUCGGUUCCAAAAUAAGUGCCGUGGUUUUAGUUCAAAUUUGAACUAAAAGUCUAAAACAAGGACACUUGUUUUGGAACGGAGGGAGUAAGUUCUAAAUUGUCAAUAUCGUUGAGAUUCUUGCUUGCACCAUCUGGUGCAUCACAAGUUUUGAAUGUUCUUACAAUCUACUUACUUUCAUUUCCAAAUUAGCUGCACUUUAUUUGCUUUUGCACAAGUCAUAGCAAAUCACUUGUUAACUUGCUUACUGUUUUUUUCAUGUAUCCAGAUUCUUGCAAGGCAAUGAGCUGGGUGGAGCAGUUCCACAGAACUUGCUGAACAAAACGGGGUUGACUAGCAAGUAAGUUUCAUCUAAGGUUUUCCAGGAAAUCUUUAUUACUAAGGAUUUCCCAUGUUCAUUGGACACCUCGUAAUUUUAUUUCAUUUGGUUGUAGAUUUUGUCCGGGCAAUCAGUUCACACAACCACCGUGCUGACAAUCGAACAUCUUAUUGAAGACAGUAGGAUGGUGUGUUUGUUCUUUUAGGAUGGCUAGAGCAAGAUUUUGUAACCAGUCAAAUGUAUGUACAGUAAAAUGAUUGGAAUCCAGUGAGACGAGUUGGCGGAAGCAGGUGAAGAUAAAGAAUCCUGAUUGUACAGUGCCAAUUCUGUAGUUUACAUUGUCAGUGUGUAAUGCAAGGAGAAAAUGAAACACUGUUAAAUUCUCUCAACUUGCUUUGGACUGCGUUCCAACGAAACAUUACAACCCUGAACUGAAUCAGAUUCCUUUUUUUAGAUGAACUGAAUCAGAUUCCUUGCAUACACCUUCUCUGCCCCGUCUCGUCUUCCCAGCCCCCACUACCCUGCAAAAUUUCGGCGCCCUGAGAGCCAGCUUCAAGAGCGACUGGUGAAGAAAUGAUAAAACCAAAAAGCCAAUCGUGUAACUUUACAGACUUUAUUUUCCUUGAGAAGAAACACCCACCGGCAUUUCAAACGAGGGAAUACACUAAAGACCCAAGCAAGAAAUGAAAAAUAUACCGUGCCCUACAAAGUCAUUCAACUCCGUCUUUUUAGCCAGCCCAUGAAGAGCGCUCCCGAAGAAAAUUUUGUCAGAAAGGUUGCAAAGAUGGAACCAGAAUCUCUAGCAACCACACACGCCACCAUGGGCUAUAGAAACUGCAACAGAAACUUAUCGCCAGAGGCAGGACAAGGCACACGCUUGACCAACAAGUCGCUGAACAUCCGUCGCAAAACCACCAUGUGUAAGUUAGAAGAAUACGAGGCUUGACGAAGAGAGGAGGCACUCCUGUACCACAAUGAUGCUCGCCCAGAUCCACAGAACCACCCCUCACAAGUCUACCAACGAUGUUCCCCUCCAUGGAGGGGGAACGGCAACCUUGCCGGAGAAACAGGAAAACCCCUAGCUGCCUUGUUAUGGGAGAAUUAAAGGAACGAGAUAUGUCUAGCUGUUUGGUUGCCUAACCACAAAGAGGAACCAGCUUGCACUGGUCCGAGAGGAACACUCAAAUCGGUGGUUCCCAGCAAUGCAGGCCCGAACCGAUGCAAAAAGGCUCCAUUAGUUCAAUGCAACGAGAGGGGAUGCAAGCAACCAAACAAACUGCACAGCUUGACCGAUACCUCGUAUUAGCCCAUACAGGCUCUACCGGGUCAAGGUUCCAGGAAGCCUAAAAUGAUGCAAGUAACCAAACACACCCGGAGUGCACUGCAGCACCGAACAGUAUAUUACCGCAAGUUGGAGCAACUCUUCAAACGCACACCGGAUGAAAAGGCUACCACACAAAACAGAAACUCCACAAUGUGCCCAAAAAGCCCACCCGCCUGGAAAUCUUCCAUUUGUCUACAGUUACUCAAAGACACACUCGGCAGUUUUCAAUGAGAAAACAAUUUAUUCGAGACGCAAAGACGGCCUUUAG
Molecule: long non-coding RNA, 70741 nt
Filed under: Triticum aestivum (bread wheat)
Lineage: Eukaryota; Viridiplantae; Streptophyta; Magnoliopsida; Poales; Poaceae
Description: long non-coding RNA (TAES_LNC019462)
Source: RNAcentral